CAAGAUAGGACUGUGUGUUAAAUCUGCAAGAGAUGCUAUGCUCUAUCCGCAAAGAUACCCACAUGUAAACAAACUCAUUGAAGCCACUUAUGGGAUUCUACAAAAACUAUCUUUAUUGUCCUGGGAGCACUCUUAUCCUUCUGGAAUUAAUAGAGCAGCGAUGGAGAUAGCGGCCAGUGUUAUGUUACCACUGAUAGUCCUCAAUGGCUCUGUCACCUUCUUUCCAGCGAGGCGAGUGGCUAGAAAAGUCCACUUUUCUAAGGCAGUAUUUCAUUAAUAACCACCUCCUCGAGCUCGGUGGUGUUUCUUAUUGAUACGUAGCUAUGGCCUAUUCAUAUGUUUAUUGUUCUAUCUUCCUCCACAAGUGUUGGAAAAAAAAAGCAUCAUUUCCAUUGAUCACCCCUACAGUUUUUAAGAAGAUUUUGCGACAACCUUUAGGGGAUUUGUGCAAAUUUUGGCAUCGCCGUGAACUUUAUCUAGUUACCAUUAUAAGAUUCCAGAUUAUCUCAACAAACUAGUUUGACACUAACACGAACUGAAAGCACAACAAACAAACCAACAAGUACAAUGGAUGGAAGGUAGCUUGUGAAACUAAAGAUGCAUGGAACGACCGCUACAACAUUAAUUGAGUAUCAAAACUGUUUGGUUCUACAGUCCUUCGUUUACUUGCUCAUAUUUUGGAUCUGUUUCUUGUACGAGCUAAAUUUCUCUUUUUUUCUCCUUCUCCAUACGCUUUCGUUUGGCAUUCUUCUCCUCAGUGAGUUCGCUUUGAGCGCAUGUGUUCUGUUCCUUCCCCUCAGUGAAUCUAGGCCUUUUGUGUUCCAGUCUGUUCUCCUCAUUGACUUCACUUCGAGGCCUUUUGUUAUCCAGAUUGCUUUCUCCUUUGUUUGCUUGCUGCUCAUUCUUCGCUCUCUCCCUUCUGUUAGCCUUAUAUCUCCCUCUUUUCUCCUUUUCCUUACGCUUUCUGAUUGCUGUCUUCUCCUCCUCGGUGACUUCACUUUGAUGGAUUCUGUUUUUCUUCAACGCUAAUUCACUCUGAGGGUGUUUCCUCUGCACCGCACUCCCUCGGGGUGAUGGGACAUUUCUCGACACCUGAUUGUUGUGGAAUAUAGUAUUCGGACACAAUGCUGGUUCGGAGUUGAUGUGCGUAUUAUCCGGUUGGGAACUUAUCGUCUGUAACACAAGUCUGUGCGCUGCCUUCCUAAGCCUAACCCCCGAAAUGGAUCCUUUUGGGUUGUACCUGCAGACAGUGAGAAAACAGAUUUAACACAAAAACGGUCUUCCAAAUCUUUGGAUACCACAAAAAAAUUCAUAAUCUUCACCUCUUGAUUUUUAUAAUCUUUGCAGGAGCUCGUCUUCGAUCACCAUCUUCAUGCCAUAGAUUAGCUCCACCUUUCAAAUCCGCUAGUUGUACAGUCUGUGAUGUGAUCGCGAUAAAUAAAGAACACUCUGUAACCACUAAGUCGCAAAAAACAAGUAGGCCAUGUUUUUGGCAGGCUUUCUUUAUUUUUCACCACAACGUCAAACAUAAAAUCAGAAGCCAAGUAGAUGAAAAUAGUAAUGAUCAACUAUACCUUUUUAGGCAACACCACUCCUGGAGGUGGACGAGCAAUGUCGCUUCCUCUAAGAUCAUCUGGAAGUUUGUAUAUGGCACAACUGUACAAAAAAAGUGUUGAUUUGAUAUAUAACUCGGGAGGCCUAAAAAUGACAAAACCGAAAUUCGUGAUAAAAGGGGGCUUACAUCACUUGAUUGGCUAAUACAUCUUCCAUCCCCUCGAUGGGGGAGCUGAAGCAUGAAGGCUGACUAUCUCCACCACAUAAAGCCAAGUAACCAUUCAUCCCUUCACUGCAGUUCUCAAUAAAUUAGCCCCCUUUUUUUAUAACAAAACUAGGAACAAAAAAUCAAAUCACUAACUUAACCCCUACAAUUAUUACCAACCGAAUCAACCAUUCUCAAGAUCUAUACACAAACCUUAGUCCAGGGUCAAUUUUUUCCGUAACUGCUGCUCGUUCUUUGUUGCUCAAUUUAAUAGUACGGCUACUAAGAGAACGGAUGAGCUCAGCAAGCGGAUGAGAUGAAACCACAAAGAGCAUGUCAGACAGCACACUGUUUCUUCGAACUUCUUCGUUCUGAAAAAAUUAAAUACAAUGAAAUCAAAGUUUCAUGUGAUUCGUAUACAGAAAUAAACACGAUAAAGUUAAUAUCUAUGCAUGAGCCAGGCUGUACCGUCAGUGAGUGCUCCACUUUUGCGGCUGCAUCCAGAAGACGCUGUUCUUCUAUAAAAGGCAGUUUUGCUAUACCCUUUACAAGGAAAGAUAGAAAAUAUGCAUUAUUACAUCUAACUUUAGAAAUAGUGUCUGCCUUAAUAAGCUUAAAAGACGAUCAAACCUGCCAAGAAUAGCGCUUUCCAUUCAUGUCAAUCUCAAAAUCUGCACACCGAAAAAAAAAGGAAAAUGAGAGACAUGGAUUGGACAAUACCACAAUGAACAAGACUAAUUCUGCAGAAAAAAAACACAUACCGGGAGGAUAAAACUCAGCUAUAGGUGAACUUGGAUCUGUCAUCAGUUUCCUAAAACAUUCUGGGAGAGCAUGUGCACUGACAUAGGAAUCUAGUGAGGCAACCAGUGACGGCAGGCAGAGAAAGAUGAUGAACACUUAGAAAUACAGAUAGAAUUACCUUGCAGAUGGAAGAACUGCCAGAAGCUGAUUGAAUGGUUUAAAUGGGGAACCUAGUUCGAACUUAAUAUCUAGCUUAUCAAGGAACUUGAGAUCAGAUGCGAAAGGUGCAUAAUGAUAAGGAUAAAACCUGCAAAACAAACAAUAGGGAGUAAGGCAAAGUAGGAAUCAGUUGGCUCAUUUCUGCUAAAGUUGCUAUUAAUUACUAGGGCCAUCUUGCCUCUAGGACAAAGUUAUUGUGGAAUUAAAUCAUGUUCCUACCCGAUGUAAGCAAAACUUGAAACAUCUCAGCUGAAAAUACUAGAGAUUAUGUUUAAGUAGAAGAUGGAUGGAAACAAUAUGAAGCCCGGAAAACAUUGUAUAUUGAACAGUCUACUAAAACUUGAAGCAUGAUGCGAACGAGCAUUACAAUCCUAAAACAAUAUAUUGUUUAUCUAGGCGCAAUAAUAUUACAAGAAACGAACAGGGAAAAUAGUGAAAUAUGAAAAGUAUAUUAUAUAUGUACGAGGAUGACAGGAAACUGACCAAUUCCAUGAACAAACACCAUGAUAAUAGUAAUGCAUUAUCCAACAAAGACCUUCUGUAUACUUCAAAACCUGGCCAAUAAUAACAAAACAGUAAAUUUGUGCAUUCAAAGUUGACGUAAGCGUAAUUUAUAUACCAUCAAAUUACAGGCAUGAGGAAACUCACAACAUCUCUGCGUAUUUGUUUCAUUUCCUCUAUAGUCUUAGCUAUGAACUUCUCCUCGUAGUAUCUCUCCCUCCAUCCUUGUACACCUAGCCUCACCUGAUCAUACAACAGCCAUGUCAAAUAGCCAGCGUAAUUAAACAGAUGUGAAAAACAAGCUCACGAAAUUUAAGCAUUUAUGCAGCUGAAAAAAUGACCUUAUCUUCUUCGCCUUUCCCUGAAAUGAACCCAUCUGAUUUUUCCCGCAAAAGUUUCUUAAGCUUAAACUUCAAUUCUUCUCUGUUAUCUACUUCCUGAAAAUCCAGAGUGUAUUUAAUACAAUUCAAACGAAAAAGUAAAGAUGAAGUCCCUAAUUAUCACCAAGCAAAAAAAACAGCAUAACUUGACAAUUUCCCAAAACUUGAAAUGGAGAAAGAGAAAAUAGUUUACACUUAACAAACAAAGGUUAUAAUCAAUCACACAAAUCAACUACAAUCCAACCAAAAGGCACAAAGAUAGAAGAAUAUUCUGUCGAGAAACUAAAAGUUUAUUGAAAUUCAUAAUCCGGUGACUUACUUCUUGGAUGUUAUACUCUGUUUCCACACUAGUGUUAUCGUCAAGAGACGGACGCAAUGAAUCGGACACUUCAACUAGAGAAUCUAGUUGCACAACCGGGUCAUAGUUACAAUUUCUGCUCGAUUUAGCUCGGUCACGACUAAACCUUUCCGAUUGCCUCUGUAACAGAUAUCACAAUAACUGCAUCAUUGAAAUACUAAACCAUGCAAAUUUAUCAGAAUCAUGUUUUCUAAGCUUUCAUUUUUGGUGGAUGAUCAAAGGGGUGUAGUACAAGGUAGUGCAGAGAAGUUAUUAACCCAUGCAGAGAGAGGCCAAUGGCACGUUUUCAGAAAGAAAACAGCUGGAUACACUACCUUAUUAUUAAAAAAUACAAUUUCUCUCCACAACAGGCGUGUAAUACUAGGUAGCGAUGCAAAAUGGCAGUAUUUUAAGACAGGGUUACUAGCGUUUCAAAACAUUCACUUCGUUUAAGCAUUUGCUUAAGGUUAUCUUAAGCAAGUCCUCUGAACAAGUACAUUCACUGGCCUCGAAGUGCACAGCGAUAUUUCUAAUCGUAUAGCUUCCAUCAGGAUAUGAUACCUUAGAAUGAAAGAAAAUGCGGAUAACUAAAUUAUAGAAAGAGAUUAACCUGAUGGUUUUGUGCUCUUCUUUGAAAUAUAUUAUUUUCAUAGAGCCCAACGGCCUGGAUAAAAUGCUCCACAUUCUUUAAAUUCAGCUGAAAGUUGGAAUAAGAAAGUUUUAAAAGAUAAUUCGAUAGCCACAUCAAGUAGGAUGAAAAAUGUUUAAGCAAUGCACCUUGCUUCCAUUGCUUAAGUAACUUGUACUUGAUCCAAAUUCCUUCUUGUACACGGACAUAAGUAAUUCUAUAGCACCCUGCAAGACAGAAAAUUUAUUGACACAUCAAUUAUAGACUUUCAAACUUGUCAAGCUGUUCUAAGCAGGCUCAUCGUCGUUCAUUGACCCAUAAAUUAUAUUGAAAGAAAGACUGAGUAAAAAUAUGUACUAAGCUAUAUUCCAUUCCAACCAUAAAUGAAGACUUGUAUAAGGAUUUCUUAUGGAUUGAUUUAUAGCUACAGAAGCUUAUAUAUCUAAUCAUUCCUAUUUUUCAGCAGAUAUCGAGAAUUAGCAAGGGUGAUAUAUGAUCGAUCGAUCAUACACUGUACCCGACAUUUUAAAACCUGGACCACAAUUAUAACAACAGAAAGCUAAGACAAAACAAACCUCCCGUAUCUCCAGUGUAGGCAUAUGUGGCAGGAAAUCAUUGCCAACAAAAAAACAGAUAAAGAUGAAGUCAUCAAUUAUGCGGUCCAAAUUUUUUUGCAAUUGCGAGUUAGGUAUCUGCAUGUCGUGCUCCAAAUACUCUCGAAGCGUCCAGAUAUUGACGAACUGCCAAAAGACAAGGGAACAUAAUGAUAAUGCUAAAGAUAUUAAUGAGCAAUUUUGAAAAAUAGUAUUGAAGUGUGUAACCUUUAAACAUACCUGGUAUGGCUUCUUAGCCACAACAUCUGACUCAGCUUUAUCAGACAAAUCUCCUGUCUUCCCCUCACAAUCUGCAGCUCGGUGCCCGAGCUGACCGCACAAGAAGCAUUUGUCUUGUUGUCCAGGAGUGAAAACAACCUAGGUGAAGUCAAAACACAGUUAAAUUGGCAUUUUAUAGUGAAUCUUGAAACAUAAAAGACUCGGAUACAAAUUUGUGACUAGUUCAGAUGUUAAUUACUUGUCAAAACAAUACUGAAGAUUAUAAACAGAUAGAUUGGUAAAACAACCUCACGAAGGAUUGAAAUAUGAACUUCGUGUGUGGCCAAAGCCAGCAUAAUCAAGUCGGCGUCCUGUUAUUCACAAAAUCAAAAGAAGAAAGGCCUUAAAUAAAUAAUUCGAUAAAGAUACCAAAUCUAAACAUGAAGAAAAUAAAUAAGAGGAGGAGGUUACAUACCAAACCAUACAGACAAUGACAGGCGUUGGGGUUGUAACCAGGAUGGUUCUUUUGAAGACGAAUGUAAGACAUGAUCUUGUGUUCCCCCUCACCAGGAACAUUAGCAUCUGAGAGGAUAACCUUGAGAAGAAGAAAAGCAAGGUCAAAGCGUGAACAAAAUAGGCAUAAGGAAAAAGAAAAGCAGCGGUACCACCUUAAUAUUUUUCCAGCCAGGGUCAGAGUUAAGUCUAACGUGAAUGUAGUAUUGCAAGGCAAAGGAAAGAGUAGACAUGAACUCGGUUCCAGGAGUGAUAACAUUAGAGUCAAAAACUUGAGAGUCCAGUUUAGGAGGCAACCUCUUGCCUUCACUCUCAAACUCUUGACGCAGUCGCUCUUCUUCAGCAGCCUAAGAAAAAGGCAGGUGAGCAUAAAUGAUGAUGGUAAGCAACCUACAGAGAGAGAGAGAUGGGAACAUACGGCCUCUGCUGCAUCUUUUGCAGCUCGAAACCUUCUGGAUCUUUGUUGAUUCAUCUUAGCCCUUGGAGCAACACCAUCUACAAAACAAAAAAGAAAGUUAAAAAGAGAAGAAAACAAAAAAAAAACAAGUCUAGUAUCAUAAAUAGACUCACCAAUAGCCAAAAACAAUAGCUUGCGAGGUCGAACCAUGAGGAAAAGUCUGUCAAUGUAAUCGAACAUGCAUUGAAACACCUCCGAAAACGUUGUUGGAGAAGCCUGACGAAAAGAGAGAUCCCAUGAAUGAAUGAAUGAAUGAAUUGAGAGCAAAAGGAGAAGAAGAAAGCGUUACCCUGUCUUCAGGAUGGAAACAAGGAUGAAUGAUUCCGUUCAUGUCGAGGUACAGAUUGUCAUACUCGACGCCGCCGUUAGGAUUAGGUUUGCUAGUGUCGACCGGAACCUUGACGUCGAGAGCUUCUUCUUCGAUGGCAUCUUGCAAAAUCAGUGGAUACCUCUCAAUUAACCAUCUGUAGAACGACGGUACUCCCAUCGGAUAAUAAUAAUAUCCUUUAUGUCUUGCGUUGCGUUGCGGCACUAGUAGUAGUGAACAGCUACGGAGGAGCUCCUUAGGUCACGCAGGGAUACAUCGACCGUCUGAGAGAACAAAAAACAAAUAUAUAUAUAUAUAUAUAUAUUUAACUUAUUACAAUGGACAUUUGUUAAUAAUAGCACAUUUUUAGUUUUUAAUAUUCUUGAUUUAAAAUUAAAUAAACAAACAUAAAUAAAUAAAAUAAAAAUUGUUAUUAAAACAUAAAACAUAAAACAAUUUUACAAAUUUUAUGUUUUAGUAGCAACUGUAUGUUUUAAUAACAAUUUUACAAAAAAAAAUUUAAUAACAAUUUCUGUUAUUGAUAUUAUAUAACAAUUUUAUGUUUUACUUUUGCCUUAUUGUAGAUUUAAAGUUUAAUUUUAUCAUUCACAUUAGGCAUUUAACUACUUAAGGAUUUUAAAUCUGGAUAUAUUUUAUUAUAUGUAAUAACUCUUAAUUUGUUACAAAAAUUAUUACAUAUUUUUUUGUAUGUGAAAUAAAAAUAAAAAUAAAAAAAAACUACGGAAACGUAUUUUUCUAUUUUUUUCUAAAACAUAAAAUAUUUGUUAUAUUUUACGAUAGCUAAUAUAUUAUUUUCAAUAGCUAAUAUAUUAUUAUAUACAAAAUUAAUUAAUUUAUUAACCUUAAUAACCUAGUGAUCCGGUAAGUUGUCCGGUUCACUGUUUGGGUUGGGUUUCAAAACACUGGACCCAACAUGUACUUUAGUAUGGAUCCAGACGCAGACCCAAACCUGUAUUUUCAGAUCCGUUGGAUCCGGGUAAAAUGUUCAGGCCUAUUGGAUCCUCUCUCGACAGUUUGAAUCAGCAUUAAAUUGCAGGUUGAAGACACAAUUCUUAAGGUAACAGAUUCUACAGAGGCUUUUCCAGAUAAAUAUUCAACAAACUCUUCUUCAGAAUUUGGGAGACAGCAAAGGCAAAUAAUUGAGCUUUGGGCUUUAUGCAAUGUACCAUUGGUUCACAGAACUACUUCUUAUUGCUCUUCAAAAGUGAUCCAUCUGACUAUGUUUAUAUGGAAGUUGAAUUCAGAAGGCUAUCUUUCCUGAAGCAGACAAUAGCUAAUGACGCGGAAACAUUACGGUGUUUUUCAAGCACACCUUCUCAUCAAGUCGCAUCAAAUAUCAACCAUAAACCAAUAAGUAUUAUGCUAACCAGUUCCUGUGGUAUCUAAUCAGGAUAAGUAACUCUCUUGACAUAAUAUGUACCUGACUGAAAAAGAAACUUGAAUUGUAGCACUUAUAUAUUAUAACAUAGACCAGGUAUUGGGGAGUGACAAGAACCUGAAUAUUUCCGAGUUCAUUUAUUGAACACUAACUUAGCAGGAGAAUAUACAAACAAAGAGAAAACCGGAAGUUUAGACAUGCUACAUAUGAACACCAUAUUAUGAUGCAAGAACAGAGCCUUCAGUGAUUUUCCAUCCUCCUGACUUGGACCAGAAAGCUUCGUAUCUUGUUGUGUAGGUUCUGACAUCUGUAGCAUUGUUUUCUGGAUGAACCAAAUCAGAUAGACAAGCAGACUCCUCCAGAGUUGCUUCAACCAGAGCACGAGUUCCGUCAGCUGAGACAGUCACGCUGUCAACGGAGAGUUUCAACAGUGUAUAAUCAUACACCAACCCGAGCUGCUUAGUUUCAGAUGCUCUGUCUGUCCAGAUCUUCAGCAUUCUCCCAUCCAAAACCUAUAAAAUUACCAGACAGAUCGUUGCCAACAUUACAAUCAGGUUUAUUAACACAAUCGAGUGAAUUGUAACUUUAUUCCCUUACCUCUGGCAACAUUUCUAUGCAGUGAUCACGCCCAAAGGCCUGAGACUUGAUCUUCUGCCACUUGCUCACUAGACUCUCCGCAGUCCUAGCAUCCAUCCUGGGAAGCGCUACCGAAUCCUCAGAUUUAACUGACCCUAAGUCAGAAAAAAAGAUUAUCCGAAGGAAAUAAAGUUUUGAACAAAACAUAGUAGAACAAUUUGCUACAUACGUUAUCCUAAAGAGAAAUGUUAAAUACACUGCACUACAGCUCCAACUCUUGUCUACAGUUUGAUCAAAACAUUCAAGCAGCAUAUGUACAUGUUGUGAGUGAAAUCUACUCAGCAACUAGUUAACCUCAGUUCUAAAUACUCAGGAUAUCUUUUGGGGCAUGUAUCAAGUAAACGAUCUACUUUCAUUCCUGUUAAUAUCUACUUUUGAGCAAUAAGCUUGUAUAAAAUUGGCAUCCUUUGAUCAUAUACCUAUGGUAGCAAUUUCAGAUGCCGUAGAGGAAGUCAUAUCCUUGCGUUGCAACGAUGAGCUGCCUUUAAGAGACAUAUACCUCAGGCUGGCCAGCGAAAUGAUUCCAACAACAACACCGGCAGAGAGAAUCUUUACACUUGCCUCCUUUAGCUUAUCAGCAUUGGACUGUUCUACAGUAAUUGCAUCGACGCUAGACUUUGUAUCAAAGAUUUCGGAUGGUCCUUCAGUUGCUGCACUUAACACAGCAGUCUCAUCAUCAGCAUCAUCAUGUCCUACAUUGUUGUUACCAGCACGAUCUACAGUAGACACCGUCUCUUGCGCAUCUGAAUAACGAGAAGGAAAAACUUUCUGCAGUGCCUGUAUAGCACUAGCCUUCACAUGCUCAGCUCCCAUCCUUGCCAUAGCUGCAGCAGCUGCUAAAGGAGAGCCCUGAACAACCUCCACUCUUUCCAGGUAACUCAAAACCAUGGGAUCAUCAUAAUAAUCCCCAAGUUUAAAUUGUUUAUCUUUGGUAUCUCUGAACCUAGGAAAGACAACCCCUGCCAACCAGGUCUCCAAUAGUUUGCAGAGCCCAGGGAGGUCGUCACGAUUUGAAUUCUCCAAGACAAACUCAACAAUAGCUGGAUUCCUGUACUGUGAGUCCUCACUGUCUAACCCCAACCACAUACGGCAUUCGUCGACUUUGCCUAUAAGCAGUGCACAGAGUCCCCUCUCGAGACCAAAGUCAACCUCCCAAUUAUUUCUCGAGUCAUACAGCAUCGCAGGAAUCUCCAUAGCCAUUACCUUAGCCUGCUGAAGUUGCUGGAAUUGCUUAUCAGCGUCCUGUAAGAGGUGGGGUUUCUUAGCUAUAAAAGCUUGAGCCACAAGCGCCAGCGCAACUUCGUAAACUUCAAAAGACUCUGCUGGAAUAUUACUCGGGGUAGCUACAAAAAGAUCAACCUAUGACACACAGAGAGCAGAGAUUAGAAUGGGGGAAACGAAUGCGAAAAUCAUGAUUUAAAAAAAAAAAAAGAAAAGAAAAGAAAGGGCUUCAGACUUGCUCAGAUGCUGUCAUUCGUAAAAACGCCUCGUUCAUAAAUUUCUCGCGUGUAAGACCACCAACAACAGCUGAUGCUCCACCUCCUCCAACAGACCACAAGAUAUUGCGAACACCGCUUAAACCAGCUAGGCGUUUAUCAUCCCCAAGAGGUAAAGCAAGAAGCUCCAAUACAUAACGGGGAGUGAUCUCUUCCAAAGUCUCAUCAAUCUGGGAACGUAGAUCAGGAGCAAGGCUGCUGGCUCCUUCCUCCUGCAAAAGCUUAAGAGCUUCCUCAACGAACUCAUAUCCAGUAAUAAAAUCAGGAGGAUGUAACGCCAUUGCAUCCCUGGAGAUGUCAAGAAAGGCAAGCGCCAUAACCAAAACCACAUCUUGCUUGAAGGACUUAGGCAACCUCUCCUUAAGCAAGGCUUCUCCUACACGAAGAACCACUUCAGUCUCACCAGCUUCUUGCAGCACACAGAGAGCACCAGGAACCUUCAUGUAUUUAAAUUAAAAAAUUCAAAAAAUCAAAAAAUCUUUUGUUUUGAGAAAAGAAAGCAAAAUCGAAAUGACCUUAUCCCAAGGAACAUCAGUGAAGACUGUAGCAGCCUCGUCAUCAACAAGGCUUUCGUCGUACUCUCUUCUAGACCGAGGAUUCGAGAGCGUCUCGCAAGCAGCUUGGAGGAUCUGUCUUCUGCUGAUUAAAGCGUCGUCACUGAACCCGAACUGAGGCGGUUUUGAAACCCUAGCUUCAAAUGCUCUUCUGAUUCCAUCAGUUAAGAAAUGCGUCUCCGCUCCCAAAACCUCGUAGAAGUCGAUGGGAAUGGCAACGUGGCGCUCGGGACGGUCAAUAGACGGUGGCGGAGAGACCAAAGUGGCCGUGGAGGCGGAGGAGGAGGAGGAGGAAUCGGUGGUGAAAUUGAAGUCGGGGAGAAGACGGUCGGCCCAUCGGCUGGCGGAACAGACAGUGGUUAUGACCGGAGAGGAGGGUAGGCUACGCCGGAGUUUGGUCGCCGGAGGUAGUCGGCAAAUCUGAAACGGGAAGAGGCCAAUGCCGAGGUGACGACCUAGAGCUUCCAUUCCACUUUUGUUGCGGAUGUGAAAAUCCCUUCUUUUUCCUUUUCUUCGUAUUAUCCAUCCACUUAAGCCUUGGUCCUCUAGGGUUUAUGUUUUUUCUUUUCUUUUUUCUUUUUUUUUUGGUUUUGAGAGGUAAAAAAAUCAAAUACAUUUAUAUAACAUAGCAUACUAUUUAAGUUAAAAUGUCGAAUAAAACAAAAUAAUAAAAAGCAAUAAAAAUGCCUGCUCGUGUGCUUUUUUAACUUUUAUAUUGUUCAAAUUUUUUAUACAUGAUUGAUUUGAUGAUUGUAUAUAUUUUAACCACUUAACAAUAUUUUAAUGUAAUUUUAGUUGUUCAUUGUUCUUUGAGCAACUUGAUUGUUGAGGUGUAUGAACCCAAAACAAUCAAUAAACUCUCAAAUUAACUGGUGCUUCAAAUCAAGAACGAGAGAAAAGAGUUUCUUGAAUCUAAUCAACCCACAAAACUACCCAGCAACUUGUUCAGAGGAAGCUAGUAGCUGGCCGAACCCCUACCCUUCACCAUCAAGCCAUAACCAAACAAAUCUGUCAUCAUCAACCCUAAUCUAGAUCCAACAAAGUUCAAGAGUGGAAAAGUCUUGGGAAAAAAUCAUUAUAUUAUGUUUGUGUUUGUUAUAAUUCACUUAUCCGAAAGAUCAGGACCCGAACGGAUCUUAAUCCGAACUUCGAAUAUCCAAAGUCCCAGCCCUACUCCUGUCUUUGGUUCCUCUUUUACACAUUCCAUAUUUGUAAAAGUGCUUUUUGUUGAUCAAUAAAUUUCAAAUUUCAACGAGAAAAUAUAACAAACAUUUUAAGAGAGAAAAAGAGCUCAGUUUAGGGACUCUAAUGUUGGAGCAGAGCUUCGUUACAAUAUUUUUUGAAGUUGACAGCUUCAUCGGUUAGGAAGUCACUGCAUAAAGUAAAAAAAGCUUUGUUGAAUGUUAAACAAGGAGAAUCAGUAAAAUGUGACAUGUACGCGAGACUCACCACAAUCGUUCAGCCAUGCGCCCCACUUCCCACCUUGGACUCCAUGGGUAAUCGGUGAGGAGGUUUAAUUUGACCGGCUCGCUCAAUUGGUUUAAAUGCUGCAUAUUUAAAAAAUUAUCCAUUCAUUAUACCUAAGGAAAAAAAAGAAACCCAACGACUUUCGUUUAGCUCGUUUCCAGAUUGUUUCUCAUACCUGGCAACUUUGGAGCAUUAGAGCUGGUUGCUGCUUUGGAAAUUGAGUUGGAAAGAAGAAGUGAACCUACAUCAAACGAUAAAGCUUUGAUAAACUCAAGUGAAUCAAAAUCUACUUUGUAUUGAAAGCCCUGAGGAGUGAUAGACUUACCACGAAUGGAAAUGGUCCCGAGGCAGCAAGGAACGAUGCCUUACGGCAAAAGGUCUAGCAAGAAAACACAAUAAUAAUAAUAAUAAUAAGAGAAUCUCGGAAAUCAAUUUAAACACAUGCCAAGAAAUAUUACUUACAGGAUCCGCUUCAAGAGGUCUUCCAAGAAAAAGAGCCAGUGCCUCAACAAAACUCCUCCUUAAAACAAUUGCAGAAACAGCUUCCAGGAUCUAGAAAGUAAAACUUGAUAAGACCUUGAUACCAAGAAAAUUACACACAUAUUUUUAUGUGAAGAAGAUUUAAUAGGAACUGACUUGUCUCUCAAGGGUUUCUUCGAGAUGGGGAAGAUAUUCAGCUAAGCACCUUCAAAUUAGAAAAAAAAAAGUAGAGGGUUUUCAGUAUAUGCAUGGUAUGCAGGUAGACUGAUAUUUUGUUUUGUACAGGUGUAACUUACAUCCCAUCCAUCCAUGGAGGAAGUUUAACAUCCUCUACAGAGAAAAGCGCUUUUAGAUCAGAAGAUGAUACUAAUUUCAGACGAGGUGACGAAGGUGCUGAUUCAUACUUUCGAAGAAUCGGGUAUACCACCUGCAUCCACAACUAGUUUAUCAAUAUCAACAAGACGCUGCUAACAAUUGAAAAGGGGUGAAGAAUGGGAUAACGAGACCUGAAGAUAAAUUUUCUGCUCAUUCUUCCAAGGGCACCCAACAACAAGUUUGUUUAUGCUCAUAUCCAUCACAAGAGGUACUGCAAACUUGACUUCCUCUGGCUACAAUUAAAAAUUAAAGGUAAUGGAAAGAGUCACAUGCCUACAAUGUGCGCUGUCUUUACCAAGAAGGAUCAAGAAUCUUGACAUAUAUAAAUAUACCUUGUCAGCUCCUGAAGUCAUUUGCAUUUCAAUUCCCUGAGAAAAGGAAAACAAGAAGAGCAUCAACAUUGAGAGAACUAUGAGAUGAUUUAUCUAAAAUGGUUUUGAGCCCAAUACAAAUUCUAAAUUACCAUUCAAGACAUAACUUAUCCAACCCUAGUGUUUCACAGGACCUGAGCAACAGAAUCUAUAUGCUUUAAGAGGCCCGCCUCAGAAACUCAGACAAUAUAAAAACAAACAGGUCGCUUUUUCCAUCACUAGUAGUUAACGCAUAAAUGCAAGGAAAAAAAAAAACAGAUUAUAAAUGAUUCCUUGUAUAAAAGCAUAAUUUUACCUUGCGAGUUAAAACUGUGCUAAUUUCAAACUUGACACGAUCAUCAUCAACUUGACCCACUCGCUUUCGUUGGUAGGCCACAUAUUGAUCCCUGUAGAGUGAGAAAACAACUUGAACUGAGCCAGGUAGUAUAGCAACCUCAAUACUUACUACCCAGAUUUAAAUGAUGUCUUUGGAGUAGAACUCCCAGAGUUUUGUAGGAAACCCAAUUGGUGAGAUAACCAUGAGAGUUGUACUCUUAAAGAUCAUUAAUCAUGGGUAAAUAAUAGAAAGAAGAAAAAGUGCCAUGGGGACAAAGGGGUUUUGAAUGAAACAAACCUCAAUCCUUGAAUGAGAACAAGUAGCAGAGUCGAGUCCUGGUUGUUCCACUCAGACAAAGCCUUGUCUAGUAAUGAAUCAACAGGAGCAAUAGUGGUGCUACACGGCAUAAAAUCCUCAUCAUCUGGCCCAAAUAUGAAAUCAGGAGGAGCUGCUGGAUACUCUGAAUUGUAAAUAACAUCCCCUGCCACCCAAAAUAAAAAUAAAAAUAAAAUAAAAACGUUUUUGUGUAAAUUACAGAAAACAAUUGCAAAAUUGAGAAGAAGAAAACACACUUACAUUUGAUCGCGUCCAGGCAAUAAGGUAUGACCAAAGUAAAACGGUCGAGGAUUCUGGGAUUGAACCUGUUACCCGACCGUACAUUUUCGAUCUACAAAUCGUUGAAGAAGAUAAUUUUUAAGUUUAAUAAAACCCUAACUUAGAGAGGAUUGGAACAUGAAUCUGAUGAUUGAUGUUUACCUUGAUGGAAUCAGGAGAGUGGUUGAGUAAGUAAUGGAGCUGAUCGGCGAUUAAAGGAGGAAAUGCUUCGAACGCCAUGCGAAGAAUCCCUAUUUACCGACAGGGUGAAAGUGCCGAUAGGUGGUUGGGUUGCACAAGAGUGAAAAAGGGCAUCGCUCUCAAAAGAGCACUCAAAAUGGGUUAAACCAACCCAAACCAAACCAUACCCAAAUUGAUUUGAGCUUAUAUGAGUUAUGGAUUUACCCAAUCCAUUUCAUUAAAAUUAAUGAGCUAUUGGUUUUAAUGGUUUAUCCACUAAAAAUACUAUUAUAGUUUGAAUGGUUAUCAAAUAAAAACAUAUUAUAUUUUGGCUGAAAAUAAAAAUCUUCUCUUAAUAGAAAGUACAAACUAUUUAGGCAAAAAAAAACAAUUUUGUAGUUUUAACCAAAAAAUUAUAUUUUAUCGUCUAGACAGGAAAAAUACAAUUUUGGUAGGAAAACUCGGUUUUACAGUUUUGGCGGGAAACUAAAUUUUACGGUUUAAUUGGAAAAACUUGAUUUUGUGAUUUUGGUAGGAUAUUGUUUUAGCGGGGAAACUCGAUCUUACGGUUUUAUCAGGGAAACUCGAUCUUACGGUUUUGGCGGAAAUUUUUGAUCUUACGGUUUUUGCGAAAAAAACUCGCUUUUGCGGUUUCGGCGGGAAAAUUUUAUCUUACGGUUUUGUCGGGAAAACUCGAUUUUGCGGGUUUUGUAGGAGAACUCGAUUUUGCGGUUUUGGCGGGAAAAUUCGAUUUAGCGGUUUUGGCGGGAAAACUUAGUUUUACUUAUGGCGGGAAAACUCGGUUUUACGAAUUGGCGGGAAAGCUCGGUUUUAAGGUUUUGGCGGGAAUACUCGUUUUUUACUGUUUUGACAGAAAAACUUGGUCUUAAGGUUUUCGGUUCUAGCGGAAAAACUCAAUUUUUUCGAUUUUGGCAAUAAAACUCGAUUAGGUGGGAAAACUCGAUUUGUAGUUUUGGCAGAAAACUCGAUUUUUGCGGUUUUGGUGAAAAUAUUCAAUAUGUAAUUUUGAUGAGAAACUUGAUUUUAUGGUUUUUUUUUUGUAAAAAAGGUUAAAGUUUAAUAAGAAAAUAGCAUAUAAUAUGCAUAUCGUUGAAAAAUUGCGUUGACAAAAAAUGUAUGAAAAAUGGAUUACAUUUAGUUUAUUUAAAUUGAUUUAGAUAUAUAUGAUAAAAUAAAUACAAACUUGGUUUAGUAAUAUGUGUUAAAAUUUUGGAGUUUUUUUAUUUGAUUUGAUUUUAUGUUGGUUAUAAUUUAUUAUUGGUUUGGUUAUUUUUUGACAACAAAAUAUUUUCAAGUCUCAUUUUAUUGGUUUGGUUAUAGAUUUUUUUGUUUGGGUUAGAUUUAGUUUAUUAAAUUUUAAUUAUAUACAUGUGAAAAUAAAUAAAAUUUGUUGUUGUAAAAUUGGUUUAUAAUUGAGUUUUGUUAUUUAAUUAUAUUUUCAGGCGGCACCAUAUGCAGAAAUAAAAGUUUAAAAAAUUAAAUUAUAUUUAAAAUAUUUUUUUAAUUUUAAUUAUAUGUAAAAAUUAAGAUACAAUAAAUAAUUUUUUAUUUAAUUUUUAAUAAUAUUUAUGUCUAUAAUUCUAAAAUUAUAGACAUUUAUAAUUUUCAAGUAUUAUUUAUGUGGUUAAAAAUAUUAUUUAUUUAUUUUUAAUAAUAUUCUGAACAAGGAUAAGAACCUAAAAUAUCAAAAUAAACAAUAUAUCUGAAAUAUGUUUGGAUAUUUGUACGAAAAAUAGUCAUAUUACUCGAUUCGAUCCAAAUCUUUUAAAUAGAGUUAAUUACAUGACGACGCAUCUAAAAUAUAACACUAAUUAUAAAAAACAAAUAUACCAAUAUAUAAAAUCGUAAAAAUCAAACAGAUUAUGUUUCUCUUGCUGCAAGAAUCAAAAAGAAGCCAUAUUACUAGAGGGAAUACGACGGUAUAUAGAAAAAUGAAACAAAUUAGAAUUAGGGCUAAUUUAUGUCAAGAAGGAAAACUUGGUGAGCAAGUCCCUUCAUAUGUAUUAAUGUGAGCAAUUAGGGUUUCAUUUCUUUACUAAAACUAUUCAUGUCUCUGAUUCUCAACCAGCCCCCGAAGCUAUGCUUGCGGAAACCAGUGUUGGUAAGAUGCUCUCCUCUUCACCACUCUAAUGGUUACUCAUCUGCUUCAUUGCCGCAAUCACAAACCCUUCCUUCAACCAUCUUAUGCGCUGAUCCUUGUAGACCACAUCUCGUAAGACCCGUGUACAGGAGGAGGGAUGGUGACAUGGAUAUUCUUGAUUACGAGAUGCCUAGUGAUUUUAUGGAGGUAACGGAAAUGAUAGGAACAUCCAAUGGAUGGAUAACGUCUUUGGUGGACGGCAUUGUGCAAAUCCGGGAACACCCGGGGAAGAAUCGUAAACAGUUGAGAAUCAUUUUUUUACCUCCUCAUGUAACGCUGCCUCUAUGCCAAGCCCAAAUGGCCACCAACGUGGCAAUGUCCUCAUCUUCUCCGUUGAAAGAGGAGUGUGUUGUGGCUGUCAAGUUCUGGGGACCUCAACUAAGCAUUUGUAAACCGGCUCAAAGCAACGCCGAGUGGAUCAACAUCAGAAUCUCAAACCCUUGUUUCUUUUCAUCCCCUGUCAUGUAUUCGGAGAAAGAGGACAUGUUUCGCAUUGUCGGAUCUGGAGGCCACCUUGUUGGAUCAUGGGAUCUCGGCAAACACAAGUGCACACCAAAGAUUCAGAGACUUCAAUUUCAAAACCUUCCGGAGCUGAGCAAGGCCAAGCGGGAGCUUCUGUACUCGAGCAACACAAGCGAACACUUGGUGGAGUCAAGAACAACCGGUGAAACUUUCAUGGUUAAGUGGUACAAAAGGACGGCCAAGACCAUCUACUGCAUAGAGAGAAUGGAAACACAAGCUUUAAUGGUGUUCAAGAUAGACGAAGAAGGCAACGCUGUUUACACUCAAGAUAUUGGUGAUCUCUGCAUUUUCCUCACAAAGUCUGAAUCUUUCUGUGUCCCUGCUUGCUCUGUUCGCCACAUGCGUCCUAAUCGCGUCAAACUCAUGGAUGUCGACGAAUUCACUAUUAUCGAUCUCGCUGCUCAAAAGUGGAACUGAUAAGAACAUUAGUUUGGACUUGUGUUUUUUUUUUCCUGAGACUAGAGUCUUGUCUUUUUCUUUAAAACCUUUCAAAUAUCCAAUCUAAUUUUUUCGUAAUAUUUAAUAAGCUUUUUGUCAACCUAAACAUAAAUUAAUCAUAAAUGUUUUUCAAAUUUUCCUUAAAUAAAAAUCACGAAAUUAUGUAAUGUACCUAAAGUAUAUAUGACAAUUAAUGAUUUUGAAUAAUAAAGAUUUGAUUAAAAUUAGUCUAUUUUCUAUCAUUUUUUUAAAUUUUAACUUAUUAAAAUAAAUUAAAUAACCACAUUAACUAUAUAAUAAAAAAUUAGAUUUUUUUGCAUAUGUUAUAUUUUAAAUUUUUAAAAACGAAUAUAAAUAACUAAAGUUGUUAAAAAUCUCACAUUGAAUUUUUUGUGAUCCAUGGUUUAAAAUUUAUGUUAUAACAAGAUACAAAUGAUUACAAAAUUACAUAAGUAGGAAGUCUCAUUUAAUAAAUUUUAUAUAUUAAUAUUAAUAUUUUUUUAAAAAUAAUUUAUAUACCAUAUAAAAUACAUAAGUAUUUUAAUUUCGAAUUUGUUUUGAUUUUUUUUAUAAACAUUUUGAACAAUUAUUGACAACUUAAUAUUUAAAUUUUAAACUUUGCAUUGAAUAUUUUUAAAAUUAUAAAUUACUAAAACAUUUAAACAUCCCACAAAUUUUUUAUUGUUAUCAUUGAUUUAAAAUUUUUGUUAUCAAGAAAUACAAACGAUCAAAAUGAAUAUGAGUAUAAAUACUAACCCACAACUUGAUUUUAACCCCAAACCUAUACCCAAUUUUUAACAGAUGUCAAUAUUAAAAAUGUAAUAUAUAUCUAUGUUAAUGGUGAUGAUUGGUUCAACUGUGGCUUUAAAAAUUUAGCUGUAGAUGUUUAGCUGUAGAUAAAUUGGUUGUACCUGUAAAGUUGUUAUUGUAGACUUUUUCUGCAGAAACUUUUGAUGUAGUUAAAUUUGUUGUAGCUGUAAGUUAUAGGCUGUAGAUAUUUUAAAAUAAAAUAUAUCAAAUAUGUGUUGUAUAUAUAAAAUUAUUAUUUUAUAUGAAUUAAAAUAAUUUAUAUUAAUAUUUUUUUAUAAAUUAUCAAAAUUUAUUGUAAUUUAAAAUGUGAUAUGUAAGUAAUAUUUAUAUUAUUUAAAUAUCUUAAUAAUUAAAAAACACUCAAAUUCAAAAUUAAAAUAUUUAUAAAAGUUUUUAUUAUGAUUAUAUAAUUUAUUUGAUAUUAUAGAUAUUUUUUUUCAUUUUACAGAUUUUACAGCCUAUAAAAAGAUGCAUUUUUGCCUAAAAUACAUAAGAGAAAGUUUUGCUUUAUUUUUUUUGUUGUAGCUUUAGAAAUAAAGCUAAAGCGUGAUUGGUAAAACUAAAUAAAAAUUUGAUGUAGACUUUAAUUUUUAAAAGUAAAGUUACAACAUGAUUGGUAAAAUUUAGUGAUUUAAAAAUAAAUAAAACUAAAGUAUGGAGAUAAAGUCUAACCAAUCACCCCCAAUAUCAUUCAAACUUAAUUUUAUAACAUAUAAAAUAGAAAAAGUGUUUGUCAAUUUAUUUAAGUAUUUGUACCAAUUUAAUUAUAUACGUAAUAGUUACUAAUUUUUUUAUUAUUCAAUAUAUAUUUAUUAUUUCAUAAUACGUUAAAAAAUAUAUAAUACUAAAAAAUAAUUUAUAUAUAAUAUUUAUUCCGCGGAGGGUGCGGAUCUUAACCGAGUAAAUGUUUAAAAGUCUGCUCCGUUGAAAUCAGAGUGAAUACGGUAUAUAGAAAAAAAAAUGAAACAAAUUAGAAUUAGGGUUAAUUUAUGUCAAGAAGGAAAACUUGGUGAGCAAGUCCCUUCAUAUGUAUUAAUGUGAGCAAUUAGGGUUUCAUUUCUUUACUAAAACUAUUCAUGUCUCUGAUUCUCAACCAGCCCCCGAAGCUAUGCUUGCGGAAACCAGUGUUGGUAAGAUGCUCUCCUCUUCACCACUCUAAUGGUUACUCAUCUGCUUCAUUGCCGCAAUCACAAACCCUUCCUUUAACCAUCUUCUGCGCGGAUCCUUGUAGACCACAUCUCGUAAGACGCGUGGUCAGGAGGGAUGGUGACAUGCAUGCUCUUGAUUACGAGAUGCCUCGUGAUUUUAUGGAGGUAACGGAAAUGAUAGGAACAUCCAAUGGAUGGGUAACGUGUUUGGUGGACGGCAUUGUGCGAAUCCGGGAAUACCCGGGCCCGGGGAAGAAUCGUAAACAGUUGAGAAUCAUUUUUUUACCUCCUCAUGAAACGCUGCCUCUAUGCCAAGCCCAAAUGGCCACCAACGUGGCAAUGUCCUCAUCUUCUCCGGAGAAGGAGGAGUGUGCUGUGGCUGUCAAGUUCUUGGGACCUCAACUAAGCAUUUGUAAACCGGCUCAAAGCAACGCCGAGUGGAUCAACAUCAGAAUCUCAAACCCUUGUUUCUUUUCCUCCCCUGUCAUGUAUUCGGAGAAAGAGGACAUGUUUCGCAUUAUCGGAUCUGGAGGCCACCUUGUUGGAUCAUGGGAUCUCGGCAAACACAAGUGCACACCAAAGAUUCAGAGACUUCAAUUUCAAAACCUUCCGGAGCUGAGCAAGGCCAAGCGGGAGCUUCUGUACUCGAGCAACACAAGCGAACACUUGGUGGAGUCAAGAACCACCGGUGAAACUUUCAUGGUUAAGUGGUACAAAAGGACAGCCAAGACCAUCUACUGCAUAGAGAGAAUGGAAACAAAAGCUUUAAUGGUGUUCAAGAUAGACGAACAAGGUAACGCUGUUUACACUCAAGAUAUUGGUGAUCUCUGCAUUUUCCUCACAAGGUCCGAAUCUUUCUGUGUCCCUGCUUGCUCUGUUCGCCACAUGCGUCCUAAUCACGUCAAACUCAUGGAUGUCGACGAAAUCACUAUUAUCGAUCUGGCUGCUCAAAAGUGGAACUGAUAAGAACAUUAGUUUGGACUUGUGUUUUUUUUUUCUGAGGCUAGAGUCUUGUCUUUUUCUUUAAAACCUUUCAAAUAUCCAAUCUAUUUUUUUUUUUCAUAUUUAUUAUCUGUGAGAUCGUUACGCAUAUGCUCCUGGACAAACCUUCCUAUCAUCUAUCACUAAAAUAGCAAUUUGGUUAUGCUUAAGCUAUAUUUAGUGUGUUCUUUGUGUUGUGACUUUAUAUAAUGGAAAGCUAUCUAUGCAUUGAGGUGAUAUUCCUUCUCUUUCGUAUUAUGUGCUCGUGAAGAGCAUUUUCCAUGAGCUUGGGAUCACAGAUGUCGAGACCAACUGCUCCGCCGGUGGAAGCGUGUGAUCAUUAAUGCUGGAAGAAGCUCGGAGGAUGUGCGUGAAGGAGAAAUAUUAACUUGUGCACCAUAUUUUCUUGUGAGCGCUUGGAAAAGGUGUUGAGAGAACACCAUAGUUUACUUCUCUGUUAGAAGAGAAACCUUUCCACACACAAAAAAAAGAGUUUAUAUACGAUUUUUAUAAUCAGAAAUCGAUAUAGAUUAUAUCAUAUCAACCAAAUUUUUCAAAAGAUUUGGAUUUUUACCUGAUCACCAGUCAAGAGAGAAGUUUUUUUCUCCGCGGACUUGGUAUUUGCUUCUGACUCAGAAUCCACCAGCCUAUUUUGCUUGGUUUUAGGCUACUAAUUUUCUUAGGAGGACAUCUAGAUUUACAAUACAGGUAGAGUAUUAUUAUGGUUUGUUGAGAAUGUUGUGAAUGGGGACCUUUUAUUUAUAAAUAUCGUGAAAUUGAAGACCAAGUAAGAUACUGAGGAAAUCCCUAGAAAAUAGAGAAGGAAGUGCAUAAAUAUUUGUAUACCAAGUUAAGAUACCAAAAUCGUUUGAAAAGAUAUGCAAGAGAAAAUCUAUAAGAAAUGUCAUAAAAUAUUUGUAUACCAAUUGAGAUACCACAAAACGUUUGAAAACCCGUAAUUAUGUUGCUCGUUUGAAAAUUUUAUUUUACUAAAAAAAUUAAAUGGCAUAUUCCCAUAUAUGAUUACGUAGCUGUCAUGUAUUGUUGCUGUUUGAAUAAAAACAAUUACGAAAAAUGCUGAUUUUAAUUAAAAACAUAUGUUUAAAUAAAAUUAGUGGCAGUGUAUUGUAAUUACUUUAAAAAUAGGAGGGUACUUCAAAAAAGAGGCUCUUCUGUUUUAAUAGUAUUGAUUUAGAUAAAUAAUAAGGUUUUGUUUUCUUAUAUAUUUAGUUAUAAAAACAAAAACGGGAAGGCUUAGGGUUUAUCUUUAACGCAAGACAAGUCGAAAGUGGAAAACUCCAACGCGAAGCUUGUUAAGGACAUGAUUUACCCAUGUCUCUUAAUCAGAAUUCUUAACUUAUGAUUUGAUAUUUUUUUUUACACUUUCUGUUAAGAGACGGAUUUUAUAUCUCUUAUUUAAAAGACAGUUCUUAAUUUUUUUUGUUAAAAUUAAAAAAAAAAAGCUAAAUAUCAUCUCUUACCCGAAAUUAAGAACCUCAGUUAACAGACUGGGGUUAAUGAUGAUCUAAAAUCCAUUAUAAUUCUUUGCAAAUGUUACAAGACUCACAACUGAUCCAACUAGUAUCCGUUCAAAUCCGUCGAGCGAUCUCAUUUUAUUUACAUGAUCUAGAAAAGAUUGCCUUUCUUGUUAGAAUAGUUUAGCAGUUGAUUAUAAUAAUUCCGCGAUGGACAUCGCUACUACAUGCACCGUGUGGUCCACGUGGAAUAGUAACUCUAUGCAUUUUAAUGAUUACAUCGAAUUCAAUAUACGCGUUUAACGAUUUUAGAAUACACACUGAGACAGUUAACUUGAUACGAGUGGAGAUCACAUCUAUUACGUACCGGGUUGUUUUCUUUACUAUAUUUUUUUCCCAUAAUUUAACAGUUUAUUUGAAUUUCACAUCGCAUGAAAACAAGCUGCGAUUAUUAUUUAUAUAUAUAUAUAUAUAUGUAAAUAAUAACAAAAGACUAGUAAACUAAACAGAUUCCAAACCCGUUAGCCACUUUGGAAAAAUUGAAUCAACAUAAAAUAUAGCAGAAGACAGGUUCCGAGUACCACGUACAAGCUUAUCCGCUAUUAUAUUUUUUGCUUUUAAGAUAUGUUGGAGCGAGAAAAUUUAAAAAAAUUCCUUACUUCGUAAAUUUUUUUCCAUGUGUGUACUGAACGCUGGCCACUCUGUAGGUGUAGACACCAUCUUCACCAUAUCAAUCUCAUAUAUAGCUUUGAUUAUCGAAAAAGUGUAGGUCAGUUAAAGGUUGAAGGAUAUGGAGAUAUAAAGAGAAGCCACCCAAAUUGUAGAUUGGCGACUCUUGGAGAUUAUAAAGCGUGACAUUCUCCUUUUAACACAUAUAAAUCAUAGAUAUCAAUGACUUUCAAGUAAGAACGUUCCCUUUUCUCUUUAACGAUGAUUUUCUCCACUACAUAUAUAUUAAACCCCAACGUUCGUAAAAGGCGUUCAAUAAACCUAAAACAACAUUUUGUUUGCAUUUGUUCAAUUGCUUGCAUACAUAAAUAUUAAAUAGAUUAUAAACUAGUGCAUUUUUAUAUCGAGAAUUCGAGAUUGUAGAAAUCAAAAUGGGCCAUGAGAAAUAGAUAUAUGCGUUCGUAAUUAUGGUCGUAUAUAUUUACAUAAUCAUUCCUAUAAUCUACUGAACAUUAGCAAACCAAUCAUCUCUUCUAUAAUUUUAAACUUGUAGGGUAAUAGCUUGUGCUUUUUAUUUUAUUUUUAAAAAAAUCUUGGAAAGUUCUCAAUGAUUGGGGGCAUUUCGAUCGGCCUAUAAUUAAAUUACUGGACUAACAUCAGAACCCAAAAUCCAACUUUAGUUGUAGCAUAUACUAGCUAUGUGACUAUGAUAUUCUCCAAAUCAUAUACUAAUUACAUUGUUUAUUGUAGAUUCAUUCAUAUAAUUGAGGUGUGGACAACUCUAUAAAAGAAUCAGAAUUACAAGGUAUUAAUUAACUACUGGUUGGUUGGUGACAGAUAAACUUAAUUAGAAUUAAUUUGGUAUCUAAGAAUGAAAAUAUAGAGCCAGCCUAUAAGAUGAUUAUCAAGAAGUGAGAGCAACUUGAUGGAAUAGUGAAAUAUAUUUUGACAAAAAGAAUCGUUACCUUUUCUCGUUUGACGCGCAGACGCGGUCCAUAUAAUUGAUUUCUUAAUAUUCUCAAAUUAACGGCUACGAACUUUUUUCUGUUCUUUUAAAUCUGACAGAAUCUACCUUACAUAUAAUGGCUGUGUCAAGAUUAGUAAAACUUAUUUAGCAAAAAAAAAAGAUUAGUAGAAAUUUCAUCACAAGAAUAUUUUGGUUUUAAUUGGGGGGUCGAUGGGUGGGUGGGAAAUAUUAAUUUAUCUUCAAUUUAUUUGCUUGUCUUAAAUUUUGUUAUUAUAUUUACUAGGUGUUUUCCCGCGGACGCGGACCUAAACAUAUUAUUAAUAUUUGCAUUAUUAAUUAGAAGACUAUAAUGAUAAAAUAUUAUUUAUAUUUUUAUUUGAAAAUUUUUACAUAUUAAUUAUUAUUUUUUUAAAAAAAAUUUAUACAUUAUACUCAUUAUAUAGAAAUAAAAUUUAAAAAUCACCCAAUAUUCUUUUUAAAAUUAAAUAAAAAUAAAAUUUUAUUUGAUUAAUAUUUAGUUAUAUAUUUUAUGUUUUUAGUAUUUUAUAAAAAGACUUUUCAGAUAACAACAUAAUAUAUAUAGAAAUUAUAUUUUUAUUUUAAAAUGUGUUUUUAAAUUCUGGAUAAUUUUUACUAUUAUUAAUUUUAUUCAAAUUAUUCAAUCAAAUAUAUUAAAUUUUUUAAAAUUUUUUAUAUAUUUUAUUUAUUAAAGGCAUAAACAAUAUUAGCUACUAUAAUUUUAACGUGAGAGCUCCGUUGCUAAAAUUUACUUUGUAAACAAUAGUAUAGAUAAAAUUUAUAUCAAUACUUUCACACGUGCAUCCAUCGUAUUUCCAAGUAAAGCUACAUAGAAAAAAGGAGAAUGCAAUUUAAAUAAAACUAGAGAUUGACCCGCACGCCCGUGCGGGUGUUAAUUUUUACUUUCUUAUAAAUCGAUAUUUUAUUUUUAUGAUUAGUAUUAUAUAUUUUAUAUGUAUCAUAAUAUAAUUAAUUGCAUAAAUACUUUUAGAUUUCUAUACAUCAUAAUCGAACCUGAAUCAAAUAGAGUAAUAUGAUUACUUUUGGUUAUUUGGUUAUUUUUAGUUUAAUUUGAAUUCAACAUACCUGAAUUGAAUCUGUUAAUAUUCUUACUUUUCAUACAAAUAUCCGUACCGGCGUCAAAUACAUUAGUUUUUGGAUAUUUGUAGGUUUGUAUAUAUCAAGACUGAAUUCAUCUGGACCCGAUUCGAAACACACAUGAAAAUUUAUAAUACCGAAAUGAAGUCUAGUUUCAAAACUCAAAAAGCAUGAUAACCCACAGAAAUAACUCGUAGCUGAAUAGUUAUCCGAAUGUCCAUGGCUAACCGAUACAUAAGUAAAUAAAAAAAAUUGUUAACCAUUUUGAAUUCUUAUCACAAAUAGAGUGGUUUCAUUCAAAUAUGUCGAAUUAUUAUAGUUAAUAUGUAAAUAAUCCUGACAAAAUAUUAUAGUAAAUAUAAUUAAUGAGAUAGUUAAAAAGUGAGAAAAUGAAUGUAAAAGAUAAAAUAAAAAAAUUGAAAACAAAUAAGUUUUGUUUUUCAUGUCACUAUUAUAUAUCAUAUAUAUGUCAUCAUAUAAUUAAUCAUAUUUUAUAUGUACCAUAAUAUAAGUAAUCAUAUAAUUAAUAUUAUUUUAUACAUACCAUCAUAUAAAUAAUCACAUAUAUUAUAUUUAUAAACUUAAUAUGAAAUAUAAAAACCAUAAUUUAAGUUGGUGUUUUUAAUUAAGUUAUGUAUUGUAUUUUUCUUAUAUAUAGUGAAAAUAUUUUUUAAAUGGUUAUUGGAAAAUAUUUUAGUAAAUUUUCUUAAAAUAUAUAUAUAUUUGAAUCAAUUAUUUAUAUAAAUUAAUUUUAAAUUAUUAUUUUGAUUUGAAUUUUGUAUAGAAAUAAUUAAAAUUGAGAAAAAUGAAUGUAAAAGAUAAAAUAAAAAUUGAAAACAAAUAAAUUUUGUUUUGUACUUCUGUAAUAAAUGAUAUUAACUUAUUUAGUAAAUAUAAUAGAUGAAGAGUUAGAAUUGAUUAACAAUAUAAUAAAAAUCUUUUAAAAAAUCAAUUAAGAUAAGCAAGUAUUAUUUUCUACUGCUAUCCAUGUUUCCAAACAAUUCUCAUUUAUACUACUAUCCAUGUUUCCAAACAAUUCUCAUUUAUACUAUUAUCCAAGUUUCCAAACAACUCUCAAAUGUACUUCAGUUUUAAUAAUAUAGAUAGUAAAUAUAAUAGAUGAAGAGUUAGAAUUGAUUAACAAUAUAAUAAAAAUCUUUUAAAAAAUCAAUUAAGAUAAGCAAGUAUUAUUUUCUACUGCUAUCCAUGUUUCCAAACAAUUCUCAUUUAUACUACUAUCCAUGUUUCCAAACAAUUCUCAUUUAUACUAUUAUCCAAGUUUCCAAACAACUCUCAAAUGUACUUCAGUUUUAAUAAUAUAGAUAGAAAAAAACAAGAGGUCUUUCGUGUUAUUUUUUUGUGUUAAAUAAUAUUCUAUUAUGUUAUAUUUUGAAUUUUAGAAAAUGACUAUAAAUGAUAAAAAUCUCACAUUGAAAAUUUUGUGAUCAAUGGUUUAAUUUUUUUUUUGCUGAAGGAAGAUACAAUAUAUCCUUUCGGAAAAACAGGUUUACUGAUGACUUGGCAGGAUUCUGUCGAGGUUUGCCGAGAAGUUUGAAGAAGUGGUUGCGCUAGCAGUUUAGUCAAAGCCAUUGACUUAAUGGACAAAUAUUUUUGUUUUUUUCUUCUCUGUUUCUUUUUGAAUUUUGACCAGUAAGAAAUGGUAACAUUUCUGAAAUUAGGAUUUUAUACAGGGUUACAAUUAUACUAUGCUUUUCCAUAAAGUACCCAGUCCUCGAAUUUACUCGUUUGGUCGUUUACAAUAAGAGCUUGUCGCAUCCAAAAAUGUCAUGUGAUAUAUGGUCAAAGAAUAUAAAAUGUCCCAUGCGUACGACUUAUAUGCUUGGUUUUCUUGAAGUGCUAACUUAUUGAAAAAGGGAUCCAUUAUAUUUGAGAAAGAUUGCAAUCGUUAAAAUUUAUUUAUUACAUAUCGUUCGUUAGUUUUCCUUAGAUUGUUCUAGUUCGUUAUCUCAUCAGAACCCUUUCGAGUAUAUAUGAAUUUAUGAUCUUUCCACAAAAUUUGUAUCAAACUUUGGUGAACCGUAACUAGCGUAAUUAGCCUAAUCAGAUUGCUUAAGUUAACCAUCUGAGACGAAGAGGGAUUAACGUAACUGGCACAAUUAUUUGCAAAUGAUACUAUUAUGCCUCGUAGAUACACCUGUUUGGUAGAGACUCUCGAUUUUACACGUGAGGUGUCGGUUAGGACUUUGCUUUCAGUUUUGACUAAAUGCCAUGCAAUUAGACGCAUAUAUUACUAUACCUUCAUGCAAAUUAACACCCACAUAAAAAAGUUUUACAUAUUUUUUUUUUUCAUUCAGAAAGAUAUAUAUAUAUAUAUAUAUAUAUAUAUAUAUAUAAUUAGUAUUUAUGUUUUACAUAGCAUGUAAUGAAUAUAUAGAGAGAUAUAUCUACUUCUUGGUUAUCGAAUUUGUUACAAUGAUUACGUUUGUCCAAGAAAGAAGUAUUUUUCGACGAGGAAAUCAUUCCAUUUAUUUAAGUUUGUUCAAGUUAAUUAAUGUCAGUAAGUAUUGUGAAGUAAAGAAAACUAUGGUUAAAAAAACGAAAAAAAAACUAUGGUUAUCCCUCAAACUUUAGAAGUAGUUCAAGGGGCGUAUAAAAUGUUGUUAUGUCAGAUUUAAAUUAGAAUUUAAGGUGCUACUUAGGGAGGGUGAUGGUGAUUUAUGUUCUCAGGACCAGCCACAAGUAGCUAAUAUCAAAAUGUGAUAUCAACUACUUUUAUAAAUAGACAUUUGAUUUUUUUUUCAUUAAUCAAAAAUAUGAAAUGUGAUAAUUUAUAGGUCCAAUCAAAUGUAAAUCGAAUUAUCUGACAGUGGUUGCGAGGAUAAUUUUUCACUAUUUUAGUCCCCAACUCACCUCAUUGAACAUAGAACUUUGAUAAUUUAAUACAUGCUAUAUAAUUGCCAAAUAGUUUGGUUUCUUAUAGCAUCAAGUUAAUAUGUUUUAGAAAAAUCUCUAUGUGACAAGAAAGAUUAUAUAUACGUUCUUCAUAGUACAUUUGAUUAGUAUAAAAUUGAUUUGGUUCUGAUUAUUGGUAAAAACAAAUUAGGAGCACCAACCAAGAGGGCAGAAGAAACAAGCAUAUGGGUGGUGUUCCUGUUAAUGAGAGGGGACCACGUGGCGGUUGCUGGGAACGCUGCAACGCUAAAAUUAACUUAACGAUCGGUGAGAGCGGAAAAGCCGCUUCGAAAAAAGCCCCACUAACCAAUAGUAGGACCCAUCUAAAAUGGGUUCCAGCGUUCACACACUACAAUAUCUGUUUUUUUAGUCAAGUUACAAUGUUUUUUUCAAUCGAAAAAGGUUAACCCAGAUCUAUUAAAUACAGAGAUCUAACUCUCGGUUGGAAGGUAUAAUUCACAGAUAAAUCUUUUUUUGAGUAUUCAAAUAGACCGUAAGCAUAGACUUAUUCUGCAUGGUCACAUGUGGAACUAAUAAUUUUGUAUUAGAGGAAAGUCGAUCAUGAUCUAGAUCAACAUGAUAACUUCUCUUUUAGUGAUUAGUUAAGUUACAAUGUUGUCCAAAACAUAAAGUUUCUUGUUUUUUUUUCCUACAAUAAUUUGCAACUAUAAAUUCAGACCACACCAGAUUGUGUCUCUCUCAAGCCCACACACACAUUCUCACCCUGUUUUCUUACAACUCAAAUCUCCUUUUCUAUCUCUUUCAGCUUAUAUUUGCAAACAAAAAAUGGGUAUAUUUUUGAGUUUGUUAGUUUAAUACAUAAACACAUGCUGAUAUAUUUUACCUGUCCUCAUCUGUUUCUCUGUUAUUUUCAGUAAGAUUCAUCGAAGAAAACACAAAACCGGUGAAAAAUGAAACAGGAGACAAAUCAAAAACGGAUGCAACAACGGUGAAGACGAAAGUUCUUCAAGAUCUUAUCAUCAACAAUGGAGGAGGAUUAAUAAAUUCAUGGGUUGAUUCCAUGAGAGCUUGUUCUCCUACUCACCUCAAAUCUUUGAUGAAACAAAGCUCUUGGCUGGUAAGUAUAUCAUUAUGAUCAGGCUAUGGCUAUAACGUCUACUUAUCUAUGUUAUAUUUAUUCUCUUAUAAUAAACGAGGUUUGUAUGAUUUUCGCAGACAGAACAUCCAUCAGCUUUAGAUAUGUUCGAAGAGAUUCUUCAUGUUUCCGAAGGAAAACAAAUCGUUAUGUUCUUGGAUUAUGAUGGCACUUUAUCUCCCAUUGUUGAUGAUCCAGACCGAGCUUUCAUGUCUAAGAAGGUUCAUUUCUAAAACCUAUAUAUAUAUAUAUAUAAUAAAAAUAAAUCUACUAGUUACAAAAAUUGUUUUGACAUUCUAAUUUUGCUUUUAUGUAUAGAUGAGAAGGACAGUGAGAAAACUAGCAAACUGUUUUCCAACUGCCAUAAUUAGUGGAAGAUGCAGAGAAAAGGUAAAAUAAUAAAAAUAUAAAAUUAGCAUAAUUUAAUUAGUAGUGAUCAAUUACUGACGCUAAUUAUAGUAAUUCUGACAAUUUUCAGGUUUAUAAUUUUGUGAAACUGACUGAGUUGUACUAUGCUGGAAGUCAUGGAAUGGACAUCAAAGGACCAGAGCAAGGGUCCAAGUAUAAGGAUGUAAGUUUUUUUGUAUACGUACAUUAAUAUGAUUAAUAACUUUUCUAAAAAAGGAUCAUUGAUAAAAAAAUUUCUUUUCAUUCUCAUUCGUUAUUAUAAAACAGCAGGAUAAAUCUCUUCUUUGCCAACCAGCUACAGAGUUCCUCCCCAUGAUCGACGAGGUCACAUUCUCCCUCAAGAUUUCUCGUAUAUCUGAACAAUAAGAAGAAAAAAAACUACUUCAUUGUUACUUACACUAUUUAAUAUGCCUUUGUCCAGGUCUAUCAAAAAUUAGUGGAGAAAACAAAUUUAACUCCCGGAGCCAACAUAGAGAACAAUAAAUUUUGUGUCUCUGUUCAUUUCCGGCGCGUCGAUGAGAAAGUACGAUAAUGUUCUUUCUUUUAAUAAUUCGUUAUUAGUGUAAUAAGAAAUAAAAUUAAACAAUCAAUUUAUUUAUUUAUAUAUUGACAGAACUGGAGUGAUUUGGCUAAUCAAGUUCGAUCAGUCAUGAAGGACUACCCUGAGCUCCGACUUACUCAAGGAAGAAAAGUAAGAUACUAUUAAUAAAGUGGUUUCUAUUUUUAAGGUGACAAGAGUUUUUUUUCUUAAUUAGCGAGUUUGUGUGUUUGGUAUGUCGUUCAGGUUUUGGAAAUUCGUCCUAUCAUUAAAUGGGAUAAAGGCAAAGCACUCGAGUUUUUAUUAGAGUCCCUUGGUAACUUCUUCAUCGACUAAUUAGUAAUGAGUAACAUGAUUAAUGUUGAGAUCAAUAGCAGUAUUAAUUAAAAUAGUGUUGCCUUUUGUAGGAUACGCCAAUUGUACCGACGUUUUCCCCCUUUAUAUCGGCGAUGAUCGCACAGACGAAGAUGCAUUUAAGGUACAUAUAAUCUCGUAAUUACUGAAAGACUUAAAAUUAAAUAGUUAUUGUUCAAUGAUCUAAGUAAAUUUCAUUUAACGGAUGUUAUAGAUACUGAGAGAAAGAAGACAAGGUCUUGGCAUUCUUGUAUCCAAAAUCCCAAAGGAGACUAACGCAUUCUAUUCUCUGCAAGAGCCUGAUGAGGUGAACAUGUUUAUCAUUUUUCAUUUUAAAUGAUUAAGUUCGUAUCAAAAGUUCCUUAAAUUAUCCUGUAUAUUGUGUAUACAUGAUAGGCUGAGUAAUAUAUUUUUUUCUUAAUUAUUUUCAGGUUAUGGAUUUCUUGCAGCGUUUAGUGGAAUGGAAACAAUUGAGAUCUGGAGCAUGAUGAUAGAGCUAUAAGCCUAUAAGUACAUAAGUUCUUUUUAAUGACAUGUUAAUCAAGUUUUUUUCCUUCUAUAUAUGUAUUGUACUCAACGCAUCUUUGUAUAGAGAGAUCCAUUAUCAAAGAAAACAGUUAAUGGAAUCGAUCAUAUAUGGAUGGUUCUAUUCAAUUAUUUCUACGCGUGUAAAUUAUAAAUACUUGACAUGUAUCUAGAUGUUAUCUUGAAAUGAAAUGAAAUGUCAUGAUAUAAGUAUUAUUAAAAAAAAAGAAAAAGAUAUAAGUAUUAUUUCACUUAUAUUUCGAAUUAAAAUAUCUCAGUCAACAUUUGGGUAUUUUUUAAUGUUUUGGAUAUAAGGUAGUUCAAAUCAAAGUGAAAACAUAUCCAGAAGAAAAAUUACAAAAAUAAAACUAGAUUUAUCGAGUCAAAUGUAUCUAUUUCUAUAUCUGCCUAUAUGAAUCUCAGAUCAGUACAAACUAAAAUAUAAAACAUAUAACUCAAAAAUUGAUUAUUAAAAAUAAAUGAAAUAUUUGUUUGAUUAUUAACAACAUUCAACCCCAAACUGAUUAACAACCUUCAACCCCAAACUGAAACAUAUCAUGAUACGUUUCAGUUUGGGGUUGAAUGUUGUUAAUAAUCAAACAAAAAUUCCAUUUAUUUUUAAUAAUCAAUUUUGAGUUAUAAAUUUUAUAUUUUAGUUUGUUCUGAUCUGAGAUUCAUAUAGGCAGAUAUAGAAAUAUAUACAUUUGACUCGAUAAAUCUAGUUUUAUUUUUGUAAUUUUUCUUCUUCUUUUAUCCCGUUCAAACAGGAUCAUUUCAGUUUUGAUGGAUUGAACAUCAAUUUUAGUUUUAAUUUCUUUUGGCAGUCUUUGUUUCUGUCAUAACUGAAACACGGGUUUUCUCAAACAAGUGAAUCUCUAGAUAAGCUAAGUUCAUCGCAUGGAAUCUAUUUGCAACGAAGAAGGGAUCCUUUUACUUUAUUUUUCGAAACCAUAAGAAAGAAAUGGAAUAUUCUACGUACGACGCAAAACUUGGGUGGGAAGAUGGCGUCAGAUAGACUCAACCUAUGAUCGGAUAUCUUUUCUGCUAAGCUUAAUUAGUUAAAGACUUACUUAGAUUGUUAAUUGUUUAAUUAAAGAUAAAAUAGUUCCUAAUUAUACGUAACCAAUUACAUAUCUUUGUAUGGAAUCUUAUGUGACAUAAUUUGUCUAAGUCUUAGGAAUCCCAAGAAAACAGCUCACCAAUAAGAGAAUCUCUCUGACAGAGUGACAGUACAACUUUUUAUGCUUUAGAGUCAACGUUCAACAAUUUUUUUUUUGUUACCGAAAGAAAACAUAUAUAUAUACAUAAUAUCCUAAUUAUCGAGUGUAAUUGGUAAGUAAAAGCGCAACCUAGAUUAAUUAUUAGAGCAUCUCCAAAAGAAACUCUAUAACUCCAAAUAUAGAGUUUUUUACUCUCCAAAAAGGAACUUCAAAACUUCAAAUUUGAAGUUUUGAAGAGUAAAACUCCAAAUAUAGAGUUUCACUUUUCAAAACUUCAAAUUUGAAGUUUCAUCUUUUUAUUUGCAUUUUGGUCCUUACAAUUAUAUAUCAUAUUUAUAAUUCUUAAAUAUUUUUUUGUUUAUUGUUUUAAUCCUUAAAACUUUUAUAUCUCAUAAAUAUUUCAAAUUUGUUUUAUAAAUUUAAGUUUUACACAUGAAAUUAAAUAAAAAAAAUUUGAAACAAGAUUUAUAAUAUUUUAAAACCAGAAUUAAACAACAAUAAUAUUACAAAAAAACCAUGAUAAAAACUUAUUAAAAAAACACAUGAAGACAUAAUUAUUACUCAAAUUUAAAUAUUAUAACAACACUAAUAGUCUGGUAAAUUUGCUCUGGAACCUCUCAAAUCUCCAAAAUAUUGUCCAAACAAAUUUUGUGUAACCGAAGAUGAUUGUUGUUGUUGCUCUUGACACAUUUUUCGUAUGAUUCUUUCUUGUUCAGAUCGAAUGUAUUCACGAAUAUUAACAUCAUCGAUAGAAGCUAAGUUUUUAGCAAUAUUUUAUUUCCUAUUUUACUUCUUUAAAAGCUAACUUUUUUGCUUCAUUUUGCAGUCGUAAUUCAAUCAUCUCAUGACCUAUUUCCCUGCUUGUUGUACUUUCGUUUAAAAGAUCAAAGAUUUCUUCGUUUGAUGAUAUCAAACUAUCAACAGCCAUAUUAUGAUGAUACUUCGAAAUGCACUAGUUGAUCAUAUAUGAGAGCAUUAUGGAAAUAAUUUUAUGGAAUAAUGUAGUAUUUGUUUGCAGUUUAAUAUUUAAUUAUGUACUUUUAUUUAUAAUUUUAUAUUUUAGUGUAAGAUUUUUUAAUUAAUAUUUCUGUAAUAUUUAUAUAUAUGUACUAGUUAUUUAUAGAAGUUUUAUGAAUUUAUAUCAACUAUGACAAAUAUAAGGACCAUAGUGUAAAAUAUAAAUAAUUUUGAAGUUAGGUUUGAAGUUUUACUUUUGGAGAAGAACACAUUGAAACUUUAAAUAUAGAGUUUUGAAAACUUCAAAAUAGAGUUCCUUUUUGGAGAUGCUCUUAUAGAGAGAAUGAGAGUAAAAGUAUUAGAGUAAAUAAUAUAAUUAAAAAAAACAAUAAAACCAGCGCAACAUAUAUUUACUUAUUUCAAACAGUGACUAGCGAAAGAGUAGUUUCACCUGAUUGGCAUAUAAAAGUGAAGCUGAGAGUAAAAAGAUUUUCUCGCCAAAAGAUUAUCGCUAAAAAGAAGUUACAGUCGUAAUAUAUUUGAUUGAACCAUACUCAUCGUUUCCUGUAUAGGAUAAUCUAGUAACUUUGCCGUAAUAAAUACUCUCAUUGUGAAAAAUAAAUAUAUUAGCAAAUUAAUAUCAAGCCUACAAUAUAAAUUAAAAUCACAUCAAGUAUUCUGGAAAAUAUAUUUGAUUGAACCAUGCUCGUUUUUUUUCUUUGUUCGUUUCAUCAAUUAGAUAACUAUGUAAUAUGAAAUACAUAAGUUAUAGAAUUCAACUAUAUACACAUUAGUUCUCACAAUAUAUAUAUAUAUAUAUAUAUAUAUAUAUAUAUUACUAAAAAAGAAAAUUUAUAUUAUUUAUUUCCUGAAUUAUUGUUAGUAAAUUUCUCAUGUUUUCCCAAAGUUUAGAAUCUAGACUAACUAGUAUUAAUAUUUAAUUGUUGUCACAAUCCCAUGUGGGUCAGUUCAAUAUUUUGACUCAUAGAGAAGAUGAAAAUAAGACAUUUCAAUUUUUUCCUCAUAACUGAUGUAAACACAAAACAAAAAUAGGUUGUUAUAUAUAAUAUGCUCAAAGGACCAACUUGAUGGACUUCUUAUAUCGUAGGCGUGGACCUAACUAAGUGUUUAUGUAGCUAUGACUCCUAUGAGCUAGCGACAACGAAUAAAAUAUUUUGUUAAUGAUUAGAAAGUAUAACUAGAUAACUCAUUACGAUAAUUAGGAUUUGAUUAGGGUUUUUGGUCUCACGUUAUUGGCUGUCUACUUGUGAACAACCCAUUAGUGUUACUUCACCCAUUUCUCCCUACAUGCCACAAGAAGAUCACUGUGGGAUUUGGUGGCUUAUACAUUUAUAGCUUUAACUAUCAACUAAUAAUGCAUGCUCCAAAAUUAUCAUUGCAGUAAUUAUAAUGAUAAUUCAUAUGAAGUGGUAUAUAUUUUUAACAACCCUGAGUUCUUAGGGAUGUCCUGAUCUUAUGCUACAGAAAAUAAUGGAAAUGUAGGUUGCAGGACACAUAAACUAAACCUGCAAAGACCUAGUCGGCUUAUCAUUGAAUGGAAUACGUACACAUCUUGAUCAUUUGGAAUUAAUAAAUUAAUAUAUUAAAUUUGUUUGGAAACGCAAUUGAUAUUUUGGAAAUUCCCACAUUGAAAUUGAUUAGUAUUUUGUUUUGCUUCUGUUAAACUAUUAAUUUUAUUCAUCUAACAUAGAUUAUAUACGAUUUUUUUGCUGCCUAAAAUAUGAAAAAGGUAAAAAAGAAAUGCAAAAAUGAGGGACAAUCUUUGAGACGUUUACAUAUCAUAUACCCUAUAUGAUCCACUACGACUAAAUCAGACCAAAUAUAAUGCAAUUUUUUAUAUUUUGGCUUGGCAUUUGUUCCCAUUGGGUUAGGAUUUCCAACUAGGGAGAAAUACUCGCUCCAAAAAAAAAAAAAAAAAGAAAGAAAAACAUAUACAGCAUUAUUAACCAGUGCAUGAGUUUAAACCGUAUCAUAAAACUUGUUGGAAAGGAAAAAAAGUUACGAGUUGGAAUCCACCAGAAAAAAGUGAGAGGGAUUCUCUAUAAUUUCACUUUUCUAAUUUUAAUUUCUCAAAUGUCCUCCUUUCUAUAAGAAAAAAAAUUCUAUCACAGCCUCCAAUUAUUGGCCGACUAAAAUUUAUAGAUCCUAGAAGCGCAAUAAUAGUAGCACUCGACCAAUCAUUGUUUGCCGUAAGUUUUCAAGUUCGUAGGCCUUUUCUUAUACAUAUAGGUCAAUUUUAAGAGAUUCAUUCCUUCAAGAAAGUAUGAAAAUAUCUUUCUCAAAAAAGAGAAAGUAUGAAAAUAUUAAAACAAAAGUAUUAUACCAAUAAUGCAUGUCUUCUCUGAAAUUUUGGUUUGCGUUUUUUCUUCUCUGAAAAUACCUUUCAGUACAUAACAUUUACAAAAGGGAGCACAGUCUGCAGAAAAACGCAGCUUGCUCGGACCACAGCCAGGUCCAAUACCAAAAAACUUUCUAAAAAUCAACAACAAUAGCGACAACGCUAAAGCCAUUAUCUAUCGAACAACAAAGCCAAGAUAUGGAGACAGCGAAAGAUUGCAGCUCAAGCAACUAUAUACCAUAUAUGGAGACAGCGAAACCAUACGCUGCACAACCAUAUCUUCAUCCCGGCGACGUCGGUUUUCAAGUCUAUUGAUCGUGAGAUAAGGAACAUUAUUCUUGGCAGAAGACACAGAAAGGAGUUCUCUGCUCUUCUAUCUCUGUGGCUGAGAUUAAGCUGAUCAGCCAUCUCUCUAGUUUUACCUUAUGAGAUGUGUGUAAUGUUUUCCUUGUUUUAUUUUUUUGCCUCGGAAACAUUUUGUCUAGAACUCUUUUGUAAGUUCUUUGUUCAUUUUAUAUGAUAUUAACAUUCUAGCAAAAAAAAAAAAAAACAAAAGCCAAGAUGGAAGGUAAGUCGUUGUUGCAACAAAAGCCAAGAUUCAUUCCUUCGAGAAAGUAUGAAAAUAUUUUUAAAAAGUAUUACCAAUAAUGCAUGUCUUCUCUGAAAUUUGGCUGGGCAUUAAGUGACCAGCGCCGGUCCAAACAUCUCUAUAAAAGUCACUGGCCCUAGACCAAAACAGAAAAUAUAUAGAAAAAGUUACAAAAAAAAAAUGUUUGUUUCAAAAAGAUGUAUAUUCUAUGUUUUCUAUAAAAAAAUUGCAAACUUUAAGAAAAUUAAUUGAUUUUAUUAGAUUGCUAUUGAUUAAAAGUUGUUGAAAAUUGAAAAUUACAGAAAACAAUAAAUUUAUUAUAGCGAUUUAAUGCGUUUUAGGAACGGAUGAAGUAUCAUUUCAUCUCAUCGGUUUGAGAGCUUAAUACUCCCUCUGUUUUUAAGAGAUGCAUAUUCUAGACUUUUCACAUAUAUUAAGAAAACUCAUUAAAUAUGCAUUAUUUUUUUGUGAAUAACAAUUUUCCAUAACUUUUAGCCAAUAGAAAUUCAAUAAACACCAUUAAUAUUUUUGAAACUUACAAUUUUUCAUAAAAUCAUACAUUGAAAUGGUAAAAAAUGUAUCUUUUUGAAACAAAUUUUUUUUCCAGAACAUACAUAUUUUAGGAACGGAGGGAGUAUUAAAGUUUUUUAAAUCUUUCAGCAAAAAAAAAAAGAAUGCUUGAAACUUAAAUGUACUGUCAAUAUUAUGUGAACAUUAAGCUGAAUUUAUAAGAAAAACUAUAAGCAAUUAAUUGAAGCAAGAAAUAUUAGAUAAACGAAUCCCUUCAAUUCAUUAAUUUAAGACCGCCAAGACUUGCGUACCAUGCAUCUAUAUAAUAGCUCAUGUGAAGUCUCCACAGUUUUAAAAAACAAAUAAUAUAUAUAAGUCAAAUAAAAAUGCCCAGGAACAGCACAUGACUAAGAUUCCCUUUUUUGGUGGAGCAUCUUAAGGUGUUUGUAUGAACGACUCUCUAACACGUGUUCUCAGAAUGAUGUGUUCACCAUUUAAGCAUGCCAAUCUAUUGUAUACUUUUAUAUAUGGGUAUGGGAAGUUCCAAACUCUUUGGUGGCGUGUGGAAGCAUGUGACUCAGAUGCCCUCACUAUAGGGAGCAAUACUUGCGUGUCGAUUUUUACUUGAACAAUCCUUGACACCUUCUUAAUGCUAGGGCGAAAUUUUGUUCCUGUGUUAAAAUUAUUUGUUAACAAAGUCUAAACGAUUUUAGUGGAUGAUGGGUUUUAAACAAAAAUAAAUCAAAUAAGAGAUUACAUCUAAAGAAAGUACAAGAACAAUAUAAACAAACAGAAAAUACGAGAUUGUUAACAGAACCAUGAGCAACGAGACCAUGUGGAAAUGUAGGCGAAAAGGUUUGUAUUGGUCUUAUAGAAAUUUCCGGUAUUUUAAUGGUAGAACGCAGGAGAAGACUCUUUGUAUGUUUUUAUUAGACUUUGGUACCUAGGAUGAACGAACUAUGGAGCUUCGAACAAUUGUUGGUUUAUAACGUUUACAGAGAAUUCAAAUAUCGAUAACUAAAUCUUGUGUACAGUACAACAACCUUACAUUAAGAUGAUAACGCAUUUUAUUGGUGAGUGAGACUACGCAUAAACUUUUUUCAAAUUAUAGUACGUAGCUUGAUGAUGUCAUGAAGACUUAAGCUAUAAACCAUCGUCUAGUAAAUGGAUCCUUCCACGGUGGGUAUCUACCGAACCCAGUGGACAUGGUCAAAAACCAGGCUAUGGGAUGGAUAAUGGAACCAACAGCAAGCCAGCAACUAAAUGAUAUAGGGAUUUUUCCUUUAGAAAAAACUUGAAAAUGUCUGAGCCCGGGUUCGAAGCAGGGACCUCUAGUGUGUGAGACUAGCGUGAUAACCGACUACACCACCCAGACUAUGGCACUAUUAGUUUGACAUUAACGAUAUAUAAUUCUAGUAUAGACUACGUGCGUCUUUGUAGAUCAUAUAUAAUUCUAGUAAGCAUCCAAUAACAUAAUUGACCAAAACCGAAAAAAUAACAUUAGUACCGAAACCCAAAGAAAGUUUUGUCGAUACCAAACGGUCAACUUCAGAAAUAAACUGGUAGUGGAGAAAAGGAGUUUUGAAAACGUUUUGAUUUGAUUAAGGUGAGUAUUACAUCAAGUGACAAUGACAAACCCUCGGUUUUUGGCCUUCAAACAAAAGCUCCAUUUUAAUUUACAAAGACAAAGACGAAAAAAUAUCAAUAGUAAUAAUAGUAAUUUACAAAGACAAAACUGACGUAGUAACAAAAAUGGUUACCAGUCGAGUUUAAUGUUCCUUUCAAUGUAAAGUUUGUCAAUAUACUCUACGAUGGGACGUGAAGCUUCCAUGUACCUCCUCAUGUUCUUCUCAACAGAUUGUUCAGUUUCAUCGAGCCGUAUCAGAAGUUGAUCCCUCGUCGGAAGCGUAUACAUUCCCGCGUAAACCGCGGUUCUAACAGCCCAUGUAUGAAACGGUGCGCAUACUUCUGUGUAAGCUGUUGUCGCAGCGUCUUUCAAAGAGUACUCAUCUGUCAUCAAGAACUUCUCGAAGAUUGCUCGGAUUAGGUCUAACCCUAGUCUCACGCGUCUCAGGUUACGUGAACGGCUUCCAGGUGUUUUCACCGUAUCUUUCUCCACGUCUAGGUCCAAAAUAUUCUGUAACGUGUCUAAUGUUUUCGAGGCUUCAACCAAGUCGUUAACUUUGGAGAUGUACUCCAUCUCAGCAAAUUUGAAGGCGAACCCUAGGCAGCUGAAGAGGACAGAGACGUGUGUACACGCAUUGCAGAAUGCAUCAAGACUCAACCCGUCUUCUUCGGUGAUUAUGUCUGGUUUUAGAAGAUCAGCUAGAUUUUCAAACGCCUCUGUGAUUAUAGACAAAGGUGUGUUGACUCUCGCUGGUGUCUUGUUGCACACGGCAUCCUCAAAUGUGUCGUCUUCCUCCUCUUCUUCCUCCUCCAUUACCUUUUUGCUCUCCUCUUCUUUUUUAUAUAGCUUCGCCACGAUUGCUGAAAUUUUAGAAAAUCUUUCUUGAUCGUUAUGGUUAGCUCACGAGAAAUGAGAGAUGUGUUAUGGUUCUGCGAUUAUGUUUUAAGACGUGACUUUUCGCAAUACUUACGGGUUCACCAAUCAAAUCAAGGUGAGAAGCAUUGUUCAUAAUGGAAAAUUUUACUAUGUAAAGAAUGGCUAUAAAUGCUUGCAAGCUAUUUUGGUGUGAGAAAGAGGAUAUAUGGUCUUCAUGAUCUACGUAGUGUUUUUAUAAAUUAACAUUUGAAAUGUUAUACUUGGGAAAUACUAUUUUGUUAACGUGAUUCUAUUUGUCUAAAAGACAAUAUGGUUUCCAUUUACAUAUGAUAUAUUUUAAACACACUCUUAUGUAUGUACAAGCUAUUUUGGUGUGAGAAAGAGGAUAUAUGGUCUUCAUGAUCUACGUAAUUUUUUUUAUAAAUUAACAUUUGGAAUGUUAUACUUGGCAAAUACUAUUUUGUUAACGUGAUUCUAUUUGUCUAAAAGACAAUAUGGUUUCCAUUUCCAUAUGAUAUAUUUUAAACACACUCUUAUGUAUGUAAUCUAUUUAUACUAAGUAAGAUUCUAGUGCUGAUGUUUAAAAAAAUUAAUUGAUUCAUCUCUAUUUUUUUCUUAUUUUAUCAAAUAUAUUCGGUUUCCACUAACCCCAUGAGCAUAAGUUAAUAAUUUAAUUUGAUAAAAAAAAAAAGUUGAUAAUUUAAUUCUGGAUCGAUAUUAUCGCUUUUUAUUUAUCGAUUUAAAGGUUUGUAACCAUGACAAGUUGGAUGAAAUAAUAUUAUUUGAACCAAAUUUAUCAAGUCUUAAUAUCCUGAAGGGAACCCUCCUUUUCUUGGAUCACUCACAGCCACAAGCUUCCCAUCGGAUUCUUGAACUAUGAACUGAGAAAUCAUUCCACCAGCAAUCGGCGCUAGGACGUGACCUUUCUUCUCCAACACAUCUCUUGUCUCUUUAGGAAUCUCGAAAUGGUCAUCGUAAACAGUAGUCCAGUUCUCAUACAAAACUCUGUUUGGUAUCAACUGCAAAAGGAAAUCACAAUAAUAAUUUUUAGUUAUGAACAAAAGAAGAACAAGAAAGUUUCUACUAAUUAAGGGAAUAAAAACCUGGUGGUAGAUUCUCGGAGCCAAGACGGAAGAGAGAGGAUCCAUGUUGAGGAAGAAAUGAUUCAAGAAAACUUCCGUUGUUCCAGCGAUGAUAAAUAUUCCUCCGCUUGCACCCACCGAGGCUUUAACUUUACCGUCCUGCGUAAACCAGCGCAUAAAAAACUGAGCCCUAAUUCAGAUUUUCGUGUGUCACAAGUAACAUGCCUAUUUUUCUAAUUAACCUUAAGUACAAUGGUGGGAGCCAUUGAGGACAAAGGUCGUUUCCCUGGACGGAUGAAGUUAGCCGGUGCUGGUAGCGGCACGUUGCGGUCGCCAACGAAUUUCAUGGGGAUUGAGAAAUCAUCCAUUUCGUUGUUCAGAACGAUUCCUGUGCUCGGAGACAGCAUUAGUGCCCCAAAGAAAUAGUUCACUGUAUUAGUCAUCGAAACAGCAUUUCUAUCCUUGUCUAUUAUCGACAAAUGGCUCGUCCCGUGAUCCUGAAGCUCAUUCCAUCUACGUAUUGGAGGGGAAGGAAGAUCAAUAAUCAAUAAAUAAAUAAAUAAAUAAAAAGAAGUCAUGUGGAUUUAAUAGAUUGAAAAACUUACUUGGCACCAUAAUGUUUGGGCUUGAAGGUUCUCUCAUCGCUAAUCUUUUUCUUUAAGUCUUUUGCAAACUCUGGAGACAACAUAUCCGAAACAACUUUGGUAACAUCGACGAAAUCCGGAUCCCCAAGGUUCAUUCUAAUUGCAAAUGCAUGUUUCAGAGCCUCGACUAAUCGAUGAACACCGAGAGGGCCCGAAACACCGGAUGGAACCCCAUAUUGAGAAAGAAUAUUUAAAACCUGCAACACAAGAAAACCCCCAAAAAAGUAAACCAAAGUUUGAUGAAAUGUUAAAAUUACACCAAAAAAUAACUUGACUUACAAGCACCAUAGCAGGACCACCGGAGGAAGGAGGCGGCAUACCGAGUAACCGGAAUCCAAGAAUGUCAGUAGAUAAUGGCUCCUUAACCUUAACUUUGUAACUUUGCAAAUCUUUCAAAGUUAUUAUCCCUCCAGACUUUUGUAUAUCUCUCACCAGAUAGUCCCCAACCGUACCAUUGUAAAACGCUUUUGAACCAUAUUUACCGAUUUGCUUCAGUGUACAAGCCAAUUUUGGGUUACGGAUAAUCGUCCCUGGCUUUUUGAGCUUUCCGUUAGAAACAAAUAGCUCAGACAGACCUUUGUCUGCUAAGAUAUCAUCACUAGUUGCGUUCAUCUGCAUGUAGAGAUACUUUGAAAUCUUGAAUCCUUUAGCUGCCAGUUUCCUUGCGGGAUUAACUAAUUUCUUCCAUGGCAGUUUCCCGUGUUGUGUCCAAGCCGUGAAUAGACCCGCGACUUCACCGGGAACAGCUACUGAUAAGGCUCCUUUCUUCUUUAGGUCUUGAUUACCAUCAUACAUAUUCUACGUCAAUAACGUCAAGGAAAACGCUACUUAGCUCAGAAUCACGUUUGGAAAUAGUAUUACUCUAUAUAAUAUAUUAAUUUAUGCAUUAACUAUAUAUGGUCCAUAUGUUAUGAAAACGCUACUAAAAAGCUCAAGAUAGCGUCUUAAACGCUUAUAUAUGAGGACGAAAUGUUCAGCAAUGCUAAUUUUUUAUUUUAUUUAUAAAUAAAAGCUUUUACUCCCAUGAAUAUUCUACACCAAGAGAGCAAGAAAAAAAAUACCAAUGAUUCUGAAAACGUUGAAGGAAAACGCUUAUUUCAAAACGCAUUUUUCGUUCAGAGCAAAAGUAAAUGCAUUUGUUACUAAAACGAUGUUACCUCAGUGGCCCGUAGAGGAGCAACCUCUCUAGAGUCAUAAGCAACUUCCUUCCCUUCACUUAUCUUAACCACUGCAAACGAUCCACCGCCUAGACCGCUAGAUGCUGGACUCACAACGCCCAAACAUAGAGCAGCAGCGACCGACGCAUCAAUGGCGUUUCCUCCUUUUUUAAGAACUUUCAUCCCGAUUUCCGAACACCGUCCAUCGUCCGUUGCAACCGCGCCAUGAUACGCAACAAUACUUUGCUGUCUUUUAUGAGCCGCAGCGUUUUUCAAAAACGCGAUUAGAAAAAGAACGAUCGUUGCUGAUCGUAUUAGAGCUCUUGCUACGAUCAACGAAGGAUCAAACAAGAGACAACGUAUCAUGAUAUCAGUUGUAGCAAACAGUCAAUUAACAAACUAAUUAUGAAUAAUCAUUGGCGAUUUAUUUUUAUGUGAAUUAGAAAAACUAAGUAACUUACAAUUCAUCUGUAUUUGGCUUUCUGAAAAUUUCUCGUCCUCUUACGUCCUUUGUGACAAGAGAUUGUUCAGACGAGUAUUAAUAAGAGUAUGUGGUCAAAGUCUCAUUUGAUUAGGAGCCAUCUCUUGGAAGGUACAUAAAAAUUAACAUCUCUUAAGAAAUGGUAGAUAAAUUAUGAAUAUGUAAAUCAUUUUCCAAAAGUUCCAAUUCUUUUGAAUAUUUCUUCUUCUUCUUUUUGUCAAUGUUUUAAAUGUUUUUAGACUACAUUAAAUGCUUUUAGACUACAUAAAUGUUUUAAACGUUUUUACCAUACAUAUAAAGUUGAACAUAUAGCACAAGGUUACCAAAUUAUUGAUUGCAGUAUUAUAUGACUAGAAGAAAAUAAAUGAUGCCAAUUAUGAUUGAGAAAAAAAAUGAAUGAAUAAAAUAAGGACAAUUCUAUCAAAUAACUAUUUUUAAAUUUUUGUCACAAAAUAGCGCUCAAGAAAAAAAAUGACCAAAAUAGUUCAUUUUUAUUUUGAAAAUUUUAAUAUUUAUAUUUAUAUUUAUUUUUAAUUUGAAACCUUAUCCCCAAAAUUUCACCCCCUUAAUUCUAAAACCUAGGUCUAUAUUAGUUAAUCUUGGGGUAAAAAUACAUUUUUACUCUUUCAUUAAAUUUAUUUUGGUCAUUUUCUUCAUUAAACACUAUUUUUGUGACAAAAACUUAGAAAUAGCUAUCCUAGGAAAUUUUUCAUAAAAUAAAGAAAUGAUUUAAAUAGUUUUUAUUAAAGAGUUUAAAACACACAUAUAUAUCCUAUGAUUAAUUAAAUCUAGAAUUAUGAUUUUUUUUUGGGAGGGGUGAGUUUAAGAUUUGGUGAUUAGAGUUUAGAGUUUAUAAUUUAUGAUUUAUCGUGUAAAAAUUAAAAUAAUCAUAUUUUAAAAAUAUUUAUGUUAAAUUUAUUAUUUAUUAAUGGUAUCUUAAUCUUUUUGUUAUUUAAUAAAAGUUAUUUCAGCAUUUUUUUGAACUAUUUUGGUCAUAAAAAUUAUUUUUAGGGUUUUUUAGGUGACCUUUUUUGGUUUAAUUUUUCUGAGAUUUGCCAUAAAAUAAAGCUCUGGAGUAAUAUUACUGAAAAAAAAAUGUCAAAAAUCAUUUCGAUUCAAUAAUACAAAGGAGAAAAAAUCAAAUCCGAUCUCAAUAUCCUGAAGGGAACCCUCCUUUUCUUGGAUCACUCACAGCCACAAGCUUUCCAUCGGAUUCUUGAACUAUGAACUGAGAAAUUGUACCUCCGGCAAACGGAGUUAGGACAUGACCUUUCUUCUCCAACACAUGUCUUGUCCCUUUAGGUAUCUCGAAAUGAUCAUUGUAAGCCGUCGUCCAGUUCUCAUACUUAACACUGUUUGGUAUCAACUGGAAAUGACAAUACAUGAAUCAAGUUUUAGUUAUGGACCAAAUAACAAGAAAGUUACUGCAGAAACAAAAACCUGAUGGUAGAUUCUUGGAGCCACGACAGAAGAAAGAGGAUCCAUGUUGAGUAAAAAAUGAUUCAAGAAAACUUCCGUUGUUCCGGCGAUGAUAUACAUUCCUCCGCUUGCACCCACUGCUGCUUUAACUUUACCGUCCUACGUAAACCAACACAUAAAAAAAGCUGUCGCUUAAAAUAGUACAUAAGUAAGUGUUCCGUGUACGUAUCACAAGUUGUUCUUUUUUCUUCACACCUUGAGUACAAUGGUGGGAGUCAUGGAUGACAAAGGUCGUUUCCCAGGACGGAUGAAGUUAGCAGGUGCUGGUGGCGGCUUAUCUGAGUCAUGGAAGGACUUCAACGGAAUCGAGAAAUCGUCCAUUUCGUUGUUCAGAACGAUUCCCGUGCUAGGAGACAGCAUCAGUGCCCCAAAGAAAGCAUUUAUUGUACUAGUCAUCGAAACACAAUUCCUCUCAUGGUCUAUUAUCGAUAAGUGGCUUGUUCCAUGAUCUUUGAUCUGAUUCCACCUAAAAUUUAAAGAAGAUUAAUCAAUCAAAAAUGAAAAAAAAGAAUCUGCAUGAUUUGUUAUAAAUUAAAAAAAAAAAACUAACCUGCCACCAUAAUAUUUUGGAUCAAAGGUUUUCUUGUCGUUUAUCUUCCUCUUCAAGUCUUGUGCAAACUGUGGAGACAACAUAUCCGAAACGACUUUAGUAACGUCAACAAAAUCUGGAUCUCCAAGGUUCAUUCUAAUUGCGAAAGCAUGUUUCAGAGCCUCGACUAAACGAUGAACACCGAGAGAGCCCGAUACACCUGAUGGAACCCCAUAUUGAGAAAGAAUGUUCAAAAUCUGCAACAGAUGAAACUCCGUAUUAAAAAUUUUAGUAAACUUGAAUUUGAUAAAAUGUGAAUUUUCCACAAAACUGAACUUACAAGGACCAUAGCAGCACCACCGGAAGAAGGAGGAGGCAUCCCGAGUAAACGGUAUCCAAGAAUAUCAUUAGAUAAUGGUUCUUUAACAUUAACUCUAUAACUUUGUAGAUCUUUCAAAGUUAUUAUCCCUCCCGAUUUGAGGAUAUCGCUCACUAGGUUAACCCCAACCGUGCCAUUAUAAAACGCUUUUGGACCAUACUUUGCAAUUUGCCUCAAAGUUAAAGCCAGUUUUGGGUUUCGGCAAAGUGUUCCUGGUUUCUUAAGCUCACCAUUUGAAACAAAUAGUUUAGAGAGACCUUUGUCUGCUAGAAUAUGGUCUCUGGUUGUGUUCAUUUGCAUAUAGAGAUACUUUGUUAUCUUAAAACCUCUAUCUGCGAGUUUCUUUGCGGGACUAACUAACCGCUUCCACGGUAGCUUUCCAUGUUGUUUCCAAGCUGUGAAUAGACCAGCAACUUCCCCGGGAACUCCUACUGAUAAGGCUCCUCUCUUUUUUAGAUCAAGAUUGCCUCCAUACAUAUUCUACAUCAAGAAAAAAUACAACCAAGAAAUGUCUUUGCAUCAAACGUCAAACGCUAUAUAACUUAAAUUCAAAACGUAUAUUUGAUCAGAGACACUAGUUCAUGUUCAAUAUCAAGAUAGAAAAACAAGAUGUUUAUGACACAUAUCCAAGCUUAGUUUACAAUGAAUCAGAGGAAUGAAAAUAUUUCUUAAGGCUAUUUAAACUUUUACUUAUAUAGAAACGCCAUUAAAGCUAAAGAUAGCGUUAAAACACUUCUUUAAAAGGAAGAUAUAAGUUGAAAAUAAAAUAAAAACACUUGUUGAAUAGCAUAAAAACGUUACGAAGAUUUAAGAUCGUGCUCAAAAUUUUUUAAUAAGAAGAAAAUAUAUUAAAAAAACUCUCGCGUUCAACAAUUAUUAAAGCGCACAAAAUGCUCUUACCCACAUAAAUGUUCAAUACCAAGACCAAAAACAUAUGUAUAUCGUAUGUGAUUCAAAAAUGUUAAUGAAGAAAUGUUUAUUUCAAAACGCACAUUACUAAAACAACGUUACCUCAGUGGCACGGAGAGGAGCAGUUUCUCUAGAAUCAUAAGCUACUUCCUUGCCACUAGCCAUCUUAACCACUAUAAACGAUCCACCGCCUAUACCGCUAGAAGCUGGACUCACAACGCCCAAACAUAAAGCAGCGGCCACAGAAGCAUCAAUAGCGUUUCCUCCUUGACGAAGAACUUUCAUUCCUAUUUUAGAACACCGUCCAUCGUCUGUUGCGACUGCACCAUGAUACUUUACAAUACUGUGCGGUCUUUUCUUAGCCGCAGCAAUUUGCAGAAACGCGAUUAUGAGAAUAGCGAUCGUCCCUGCUCGAACAAGCCACAUUGCUACCACUGAUGAAGAAUAAAAAAAAAAGAUUAAACACCGAUGACACAAAAAAAAUUGAUGAUCUUAGGUUCGUUUACAUAGAGAGUAAUUAAAGAUGAAAGGAACUUUUUUUAUAUCAAGAACCAUACAACUUACAAGGUAUUUAUACACAAAGUUAGAACCUAUUCUCAACCAGAAUCAAAAGUUAUCUGUAUACGUAAUAUGCUACACUUAUAACAACUUGCUAUUAUCCCCCUGUCACUAGUAGUUUUACAUUGAAUUUGAACAAUGUUUGACCUUUCCAAUAAAUAGAAAAUUAAAUGAGUCAAUUACUGAAAAUGUUGAAUACCUUACCUUUUCUAUGAUAUUUACCUUUAGAAAAAAAGAUUAUUUACCUUUAGAAAAAGGUAUAAACGUUGAAUACCCUUUCUGAAAAAGAUUAUUUACCUUUAGAACAUAUUCAAUGCACAUUUCUAUAUUUUCUUCUCCAAUAUAUGCAUCUAUAGUACAAUUCAUCUAUUUAUAGAAUAAGAUACAAUUCAUCUAUUUAUAUGUUGUUUUGCCUCUACUUUUAGAGAUAAAAUAAUAUUUCUCAAUAUUUUCUCCUAAAAAUAGAGAAAUUAUAUUAUAAAAGCAUAUAUUGGAGCAGAUCCAUGGCCUUAAUAGAGUUUUUAUGUUUUAAAAGAAAAUAUAAAGAGAAAUAUAAAAGUGGAUUGAAGAUGGUCUUAGAAUCAUUUUAAAAAAAAUACUGAAAAUGUUUAAUUAACCAAAAAAAACUCUAUACUAAUUACAUUUGAUUCCCAAGAAGAAGAAAAACUUAACACAUUCGGUUGACUAAUGAAUUAAUCAGUCUAAAAAUAUAUUUAGAUUUGUUAUUUUUUCUUUUACAUAAAGGAUAACGAAAAAAAUAUUAAAAAUAUAUCCAACAUUACAUUUUACUCUUUACAAUGACUAAACAGUUAAAUCUUUAGUCACUUUCUCGUGUCCUGCUCGAUCCAGUUGAGUUCAUUCUUGCUCGAUCGAACCAGGUAGUCUUGACCCGAAAACUUCAAGAGCUUCCAAGAAGAAUCUCUUGUUAGGUACAAUUCCAUCUUUCUCCAUCUUUUCCAUCAGCAUCUGCACAUGCUCCUUCAUAUCUGCCUUAGUAUACUCCUUAUAUGAAGCUGACAGAGGACGCUGAGAUUGUCUUCGUAGCUAACGUUCUCACAGAUACAAACAAAUAUAUUUGAGGGCGUAUUAAGAAAGAACCUACUGGUGUUGUCUUUCUCAUUUUGUUUGCAGUUUGUAUUCGUGGUACUUUUUCCUUUAGAUUGAAUCAAUGACAAAAAAAAAAAAAAAGCCAGAAAACAAUGGGGGCUGUUUAUGUAAAGAAGUAAAAAAGUUAAGGAUCAUUUUCGGGAGUUUUGAACCCGACGUGAAUCGAACACGCAACCUUCUGAUCUGGAGUCAGACGCGCUACCAUUGCGCCACGGAUCCUGAUGCUUAAAUAACUUAAUAUAUUGUAAUUAUUUCAUAACUGUAUAGGAUCAACCAUUAUUAACCACUAUUUAAAAACAUAAACAAGCUUUAAAAAUGGAAAAAAUUGACAAAGAAAAUAAAUGUCUUGUGACUUUUAGGGGAAUACAAUUUGACAUUGCUUUUGCUUAUAAACAUCAGUACCCACUUUCUUGUAGAUAAUUAAGCUUGUUUUGUAACCGUCUCUUUGAUCCCAAACUCUUUAUGCUACAGUUUGAUGAAUGAAUGAAUGAUUAGACAAGCAAGUAACAAGUAUAGUUUUUGUCGUCGUCUACCCCUUUUAUUUAUACGCGACUAUGAUGAAUGAAAUGUCUCUGAGAUUUCACCUCUUAACUUUUGCAGUGACUUGUAGAGGACUUGGCUUACUCUGUCUCUGACAGGCGACUGAGAGAAUAUCUUUCAUAACACUUGCAUAGAAGGCUACCGUACUCCUUACACUCAUGAUAAAAAGAAAAGAAAUGACUAAAAAACAAUGGCGUGUUGAUCAAGUUUUGCAGAAAAAAGAAUGGAUUCACUGACCACAAGUAUUGUGAACCAACAAAGAAAUUGCCAAAACUAGGAUCCUCUGUUUCAUUCCAUAACGGGACCUGCAGUUUGACAAGAUACUUGUGGUCAGUGGACUUUGUCAACUCACUUUUUAUUUUCCUUCUCAACCAAACCUCUAUAUUUCAAUCUUUUUAGUUCCUUGGGGAAUUUCAUUUGAUCUAAAUGCACAAAAACAUAUGGGGAGAGGGUAUUAUUAUUAUUUUUUCUAGUUUAAGAUUAUCUUCUUUUUUUUUUUAAUUUAUCAUACAAACACAGUUAUUAAGAAAAAAAUUCACCAUCUUCUUUCCCUUCAUUUCCUCUGACUUGGUGGUGAUCUUGAUUUUGCAACCUUUGACUUACUGCGUCCUGUGGCAAUCUUCCUCCCUUAGGUCAACUUUU
Molecule: long non-coding RNA, 48288 nt
Filed under: Brassica rapa (field mustard)
Lineage: Eukaryota; Viridiplantae; Streptophyta; Magnoliopsida; Brassicales; Brassicaceae
Description: long non-coding RNA (BRAP_LNC004752)
Source: RNAcentral